GGACCCGCCUCGCGGAAGUGACGGCGCGCCGGGGGAAACGGGGCGGGGCCCGGCCGAGCGCGCGGCGGGGGAAGAGGCCCAGUCGGGAGAGAAGCGGCUGAGGUAAAUUCCAGCCCCUUCCAAGCGCCGCCUUUCAAACUCCUCGCAGGCGUGUUUUGAAAGUAAGGUUGUGGGCUUUCCUCACGCCCCGCCGUUUUGUUUUUCUGUAAAAAUGGUAAUGAUGAUGAUAGUUGUUGUUGUUAUUACUAUUAUUAUUUUAAAUAUAUAAUAUAAAAAUAAUAAGUUUUGUUUUUCUGUAAAAAUAAUAAAAAUAAUAAUUGUUGUUGUUUUUUUAAAGAUCUAAUAUAAUAAGUUUUUCUGUAAAAAUGGUAAUGAUAAUAAGUGUUACUAUUUUAAAAAUCUAAAAUAAUAAUGUCUUUUUCUGUAAAAAUAAUAAUGAUGAUGAUGAGCGUAUAAGACGCCCCAUGUAAAAGACGGCCCCUAUUUUGAGGGACUCCAAAUUAAGAAAACACACCUCAGCACUACCCGUGUAUAAGACAAGCCCCAAUUUCAAACCUAAUUUUUGGGUAAAAAAACCCCUAGUCUUAUGCAUGGAAAAUACGGUAAGUGGUGUUAUUUUUAAAAAUCUUGUGUGGUUAUUAUUAUGUUUUAUCUCCAAAAAGAGUUGGAAAUGUUUUGUUGACUUUUUAUUAUUAUUGAACAACACAAUGAUCAGUAGCCUCCAACCUUUCCUCUGAUGAAAAUAGGGACGUCCUACUCAAUAAUAAUAUUUUUACUAUUUAUACCCCACCCAUCUGACUGGGUUGCCCCAGCCACUCUGGGCAGCUUCAAACACAUAUAAAAACAUAAUAAAAUAUCAAACAUUAAAAAGUUCCCCAAAUAAUAAUAAUAAUUGCAAACCACUUUGAGGUGUGUAUUUGCUUUUUUAAUAGUCAAGGGGUGCACAAUUUUUAAUGAAACAGAGCAAUGAAUGAGACAAACAAGGUUUUGCCACUGAGUGGAAAGUUGCCUGGCUCACAAAUAUGUGGUAGAAUUAUUAGUAUUAUUGCACACAGGGUCUGCUCUCUGGACACAGUGUGUUCCUAGGAAAUUGUUUGCUGGGCGAUUGUUUGCAUAAUGAGUCUAGGUUUCCCAUUGAUUUCUAUGGGGAAAUUUCUAAUGCGUUCCCAACCAUGGGAUUUUGAGACAUACACACACACAAACCCCAGAAUGAUGAGAAAACUCAGGAAAACCCUUUGAAACCUUGCAAAAGGAAAACAAGGGAAAAAUUGCUCUCUUAUUUGUCCAAUCUCUUCCCUUCCUCCUACCAUGGAUCCUGGCAAAAUGGCUAUAGUGGACUAGGAAAAGCUUUUAAUGUUUAAUGGGUUAUUGUAUUUUAGUGUUUUGUUGGAAGCCGCCCAGAGUGACUGGGGAAACCCAGCCAGAUGGGCAGGAUAUAAAUAAUAAAUUAUUAUUAUUAUUAUUGGGAAACACACAAAAAAGCAAUGCUUUUUAAAGGUUGCUUACUUGUUUACAGUGCUACACUCAGGUCUGUGGAGUGUAUAGUGAAGUUUGGGUACUAAUUCAUUGUGUUUGGAUAAGUGAAAUUUUCAUUUAAUGAGCUUUUGGAUCAUGGGAUCUGCUUGUCUUAUUCUUUAUUGAGUUUGUUAGUCACUUUAUCUUGCUCAGCGCAACACACAACAAUUUACGACCAGACAAACAAACAGACAGUAGAACCCAACCCAAGACAGAUACAUUAAAACCAAGAGGAAAGAGAAAUCCUGCCCACUUCUAAAGGUCUCAGAUAGUUACGAGAUUAAAGGCCUGGUUAUAGAGGAAUGUUUUUGCCAGGCACUUAAAGAUAUGCAAUAAUGGUGCCAUCUGAGCCUUCCUGGGGUGAGCAUUCCACAAAGGCCAGUGCUGGAGGAUGAUAGGAUUUGUAGUCCAACAACAUCUGGAGGGCCACUGGUUCCCUUUUCCUUCUGUAUGUAGUAUUUCAGGCAGCAGUUUAGGAGGUGGUUUUGUAUUUGGAUGCUCCUAACUGCCAAUGUGUAAAAAACAAUUUUAAAAUAACACGCUCCAAGUAAAAUAUUAACAUUUCAGAGCAAAAGCUCUACCUCACCCUGUUCUUUGCUAGUUUUCUGCCUAUAGGGAGUUUUACUUUGGGGAGCACUCAGCAAUUAAACACUGGGAAAGAUUUCUGACAGUUGGUGAGUUAGGAAUCAGUGCAGCUUUGAAAGGUUUAUUCAUUCAUCUUGAUUCAAAAUGGCAUUUAAUUGCAGCCAAAGCAAAACCUGCACCCUAUGUCAGGAACCACCAUGCAAAUUUUUGUGACAAUAUCUUAAGAAGCACCCAUACCAGUUCAGUUUUGAAAGGUUCAGUCUGCUCUCUUGAGUCAACAUGUCUUUCAAUUAUAGGGAAAUAUAAACUUACUUCUUGAUCUCGGGAACCAUAAUGCAAAAUUUGGUAAGAGGUGUCCAAAUGCAUGCAAUUUGGAAAGACUUAGUCCACCAUACUGAUUCCAAAUGACAUCCAGUGGUGUUCAAACGUAGGAAAAAAAACCCUCAGUUUCAGGAACCAUCAUGUUUUAUGAGGUGUCCGAUGUAUGGAGAACAGAUGGAAAGCAAACAACUUUCCAAAAUAUAAAUAUAGUAUACGUACUUGAAAAUGUUUUCUUUAUGCUACGGUUGCAGCAAGAAUACUCAUUGUGACAAAUUGGAAAAGUGAUAAAGUCCCUUCUAGAUUAGAGUGGACUCAAAAAAUGAUUGAAUAUGCGGAAUUAUAUAAUUUAUCAGAAAGAAUAAAAAAUAAAUAAAAGGAAGUAUUUAUCUCAAAAUGGGAAGUUUUAAAACUUUAUUUGAAAAACAGUAAUGACAGUUUAAAGUCUGUAGCAGCAUUUGAAUAACUUCAGUAGGAGUUUUAAGUUUGUUUUAUAUUUCUUUUUUGUGAUGUAUUAAAGUGAAACAAUUAUAAUAAAAAAGAAAGAAAAUGUUUCUGUGUCAUGUCAAUGAAUCUAUGCUUGUGAGACUUGGAGUGAGACAAUCACUACGGACUUGGAUUGAGUACAUUUUCUAUUUUUCAAAAAUGUUGUUUUGAGCAGUAUUUUGAACAUUAGAGAAAAACACUUUAUCUUUGUGUGACCUGGGUCAUGCCUUAAUCUCAGUUCAAUUUAUUUUAUCAUAGUCAAAGCAUCAAACUGAGUAAACCCUAAAUCCCUAUGCAGAUGACCUGUUCUAACAAAUAGUAAUUCCUGUUUAAAAUCUACUUUCCAGGGACUUGUUUUGAAACUAUGGGAGACCAGUGCCAUUACAAACUUGAAGUUAGCAUACUACUGUGAUGAGUACCUUAAUUUCAGAACAGAGGUGGUUGGUGGAGGAGAAAGUGUUUUAACUGCAGUGGGAGAAACAUCUUAAAAACUAUUGAGUUGUGUAUGUAGAGAGGGGGGUAAUUACAAGUUGUUCCUUUUUAAAAUUUAUAUUCCAGUCCAUUAAAUUUAUCUCUCCUGCUUAAGUUACAUCCCUGAAGUACACUCCUAAUGCCAUAGCUGUAACGCUACACUGAUUUGGGUCCAUUAUCCUAGGGAUGUAGAGCAUGACACAGCAGCCCACAAACCUGCACCAAUUAGGCCUAGUUCACCCAACAGUACCUGGAAAAUAUUUAGAAUAUUUCUGGGCUGCACCACUUCAUUCUUCAGGUGUGGAAAAUCACAUGACCUAAAUGCUUUUUCCUAUUAACACAUACAAAAAUGUAGAAAAGUAGACACUGGGGAUGUGAAUUUCUAGCCUGUACUUCUAAACUGAUAUAUGAACAUUUGGGAUUUAGCCAUGCAUUUCCAGAAUUUACCACCUUUAAACAGGAUCUUAGUUCCUUCAGAGUCCCAUUACAGGUAAUGGAAUUGGAGGAUAUUGGUGCUAUGACUAACUUGAGACCCGCUGAUUUGAUUUUAGAGGGAGGGGCACUGUCCAAUUGGACUUGGGCUGCAAUCCCUUAGUGGGACUUAAAGGUAAAGGUAAAGGGACCCCUGACCAUUAGGUCCAGUCGCGGACGACUCUGGGGUUGCAGCGCUCAUCUUGCUCUAUUGGCCGAGGGAGCCGGCGUACAGCUUCCAGGUCAUGUGGCCAGCAUGACUAAGCCACUUCUGGCGAACCAGAGUAGCGCACAGAAACACUGUUUACCUUCCCACCUAUUUAUCUACUUGCACUUUGACGUGCUUUCAAACUGCUAGUUUGGCUGCUGAGUAAAUCAUAUCAUAGGAUCAGGCUGCACAGUUUCCAGACUAAGCAGACUUGCUAGUAGUAAAUACAGGAUGCUUCUAGACAGUGUUUAUUGAGCAUUCAUCCUGCAGCAACUGAUGUGAGGCAAUAGUUGAGGAAUCUGACACAAUAAAUAGCAAACUGCUCUGACUCAGUGUAAAGUGGAGAUAUAAAAUUAGAAAGGGCACACAACAUAAGCAUGUGUGUGUGCUGUCCAGCACUGGAUAUCAUUUUUAAAUCAGCAUAAAAUAAGGGCUACCCAAACCUCAGUGUGAUACCUUUCUUAGAAUAUAUCAGUAACCAAUAAGUAAGCAUCCUUAUAUGGGUAUUACUGUGUGAAAGCAAGCCUGUGGUUGCAAUGUGUUUAUCAUAAAACAUUGGACAACGAACCUGAAAUAAAAUGCACAAAUUAAAAUGCUCUAUUUGGCAAUUAAAUAAGCUGCACUGAGCCAUUGUGGAAUUUACUUGGAAGUUUACGCAGAAAGGUGGCCGGGUUGCUGUCAAAAAAGAAACACAUGCCACACCCCUGGCCAGACCAUCCAUGUAGCCCAGUCUUAUAUACGCUCGACAGGCAGAGGCCAUCCUGAGUCUCAGGUAGAGGGUCUUUCCCCAUCCUUUUUAAUUGGAAGUGACCUUCUUUGAACUUUAGAUCUAUUGUGCCUAGGAUAUGAAGUGGGUUUGGGGGAGAAAUUUGGUUUCGUUCACAUUUUAAUACAAACCUGCCUAAUUUGCACUUCCCAAAGCAAUAUGUGAACUGAAAUGCAGCAGUCCUUCAAAAUCCACGCUUCUCCCUAUUUUGUGAUGUAGUUCUGUAGCCAAAGAAUGUGUCUGCUAAGGGGAAAGUAUGCAUGUAUUUGUAGAAAGAACAUAGUAUCAUUUUAGUAGGGGAAAUUACUUGUGCAAAUGUGCACUGAAAUCGUGGGACAUUUUCAUAAGUGCAUCCCCCACCCCACCCCACCCCCCAGUGCAAACUGAUGUGGAAAGGUGGCUAACUGAACUUAAGACUGGAAAAAUGAGGGGGAAAAAAAAAGACAUUUGUCCAUCCCUAAUGGAGAGUAGUAGUGGUAGUAGUGGUGGGUUUGGGGAGAUGGGACGUAUGACUUAUGAGAAACCAUCCAGUUUUGUGAUUCAAUGGCAUAAAUAUGAAAAAAGGCUUUGAUUGAGAUUUUAUUUAUUUAAGAAUGUGGAUCCUUUGUCCUAAUAAAUAUUUACUGAUAUUUUAAAUUAAUUUUUAAAGGAUGCUUUUAUUGCUUCUAUUGUGUAUAUACCACCUGGAUGUACACUGCUUCAAUAUAUUUUAUGAAAAUGUGGAUUGUGGAUAUUUCAAUACAUAAAUAAAUAAUGAAACAUUCAAGUAGGCCAACUCUAAACUAAAAACAAACAUUAACAGACUCAUUAUUAUUAAAAAACCAACACUAUAGCAAUUCAUGGUUGGGUGGUAAACCAAAUAAAGAGCACCUAAAAACUGCAAAGCAAUUUCUGGAGAGAGCAAAAUUCAAAGUUACGACUGGUUAAGACAGAAGAGUGUACAAAAGGUGGCAGUACAUUAACAAACAAGGGGCAAGCAAGUCUGAUUUCUAGGGCAAUGAAUCCCACAUCCAUGAUCAGUUAUGCUCUUUCCUUUGUUCCCACAUGAUGCUACUUCUGACAGUGAUGGGAAAUGCGGCCGUGGCUUUCUGAUCACAGUGGACAAGAAGGUUCAUAUGGGAGCGAUGGUCCUUUAGGUAUUCUGGACCUUAGCCAUGUAGAGCAGUUCAGUGCAAUUGAUGUAAGAGAGGAGUCACAUACUGGCAUCCAGCACAGACUAAGAUUAUUGCUGCAAUACUAACAAAACACACCCACACAAAAUCCUGUCCCCCUCCAACCCCAUAUUUCACUAUAUGACGAUGUGAUGUGCCUUUUAUCUUUACGUUGCCUCACUACCAGGAUGUGAUUUACGGUUGGGAGGGGGCAGCAAAGAAAUUUCGGCAGUCAUGGCAAGGAUUUUGCUUUAAUACAGCAAAGGCUAUAUUAAUAGAGUUAAAUAAAAAUUCAGUAUUCUGUUCUAAGAGCAUUUGCUGUGAUAACUUUUUAUUCCUACCAGAUUGCCUUAUCUGGCAACUGUUUGAAAUCUUCAGGAUAUGACCAUUGAUGGCCUAAGAGUGGGUCAUGUGUGGGGCUGCAGCAGAGUUUGUAGCAACUGCUGCAGAACAUCCUUCUGGAUCAACCACGGCAAACGCCACUAGAGCUGACAAUCUAAAGCUAUAAGGAAGAGGGUGAACCAUACAGAACCGUUGGUAGGCAUGUUUGGUGUUUGCGCUUUGGGGAGCAGCAACUUCUCCUAGCACAUUGCAAGAUUUAAUAUGCUAUUUGCCCAGGAUUUCCGGCAUGUUUUAUGCCUGGCUUUAGUAUUGCUUUAUAGCUCUGCUGGAUUUUAUAGUUGAUUUUUGGCUCCUCCCCCUCCUCCUUUUGAUGUUUUAUAUGGCAUUUCUAUUCUAUUUCUCAUUUUUUAAUUUGAUAGUGCCCUAUAAAUUUGUCAGGGAAUGAAAGGUCUUAGGCAAGCUGAACUGAAAAAUAAAAUUUAAGGAAUAUUACAAGACAAACCAUAAAGGUUUGUGGUUGCAAACUGGAAAGUUAAUAGAUGCACAUUUAAUAAAAUCAUCAUCAUAACUACUACUUAAUAUUUAUUAAGGGCCUGUAUGUAGAACAAUGAUGAUAUUGUUCCUGCCUUUACACUGGGAUGGGAAACCUGUGACCGUUCACCUUCUGUUGGGCUCUCAUCAUGCCUGACAUUUCGCCAUUCUGGCCAGGCCUGAUGGGAGCUAUAGUCUAAACAGAGAUUGGGAACCUAUGAGCUUCUGGGUGUUGCUGGAAUAAAACUACCAUCAUCUUUGGCCAUUGGCAACACUAGCUGGAGCAGAUGGGGGCUGGAGUCUAAACAACAUUUGGAUGGCUGUGGGUUCCCCACCCCUGGUCUGCAUGCAUGAACCCCGAGGACAGUAAAGAAGAUAAGGAGAUGGAAAUAGGAGAUGGGAGAUGGGAGGCUAAGCUAAAGUAGGGAGGCGGGUGGGGAAACCCAGCCAGAUGGGCGGGGUAUAAAUAAUAAAUUAUUAUUAUUAAAGAAAAGUCAAGUUUUAUAGAUUUUGAAUAUUGUAAGCUGAAGUGCCCUUAGGAGCAAUGGUUGAAUUCUAAUUUGGUUUGCAGUAAUGGCACUGCAUUGUCUUGUUUGUGCUUCUAGUAUGGCUUUUUCACACACAAUACAGGAUAAAUCUGGCUAUCCCACUGAGAAUGCAGUAGACACAGAGCUGCAGCCAGUGUUGGCUUCAUGAUGAUGUUUUUGUUCGUGAAUAUGAAUUGAAGACUAUACUAGGUACAUACAGUGCAUAACCCAUCUGUUAUUUAUCUCAAUAGCAAAGUCCUCCAGUCCAGUGCAUCAGAAUUACAUCCACGGUGUACAUGUCUAGCAAAAUGAAAUAAAGUUUAAACAUGCACAUUUUAUUUUUUUUAAAAGAACUUUUACCUAAGCAAACAGUAAUUGCCAUCUUUGGGACACAUUUAUGUUUGUAGAAGGCAACAUUUCAUUUUGCUCACAACAUGCUGCAGAGUUGAAUUUCAGAUGGUAUUACAAUCAGAACUAUUGAUCCUGGGAGAUCAGUCAACUUCUAAAACAUCAGAAUGACUUCAUAGUAGUGGCACUUUGCCCAGACACGCAACCUUUGGAAAAAUUCCUGGCCAAAGAUUUUAACCGAUCCGAUCAGCAUUCUUAUGCUUGCCUUUCAGAUACGAUGGAAUCUGAGGCAGAAGUCAGGCUCUCUCCCAAUAGGACAACCAUUGUUUCUUAUACUUUGGCUGUAAAAGCUGCAUUCUGUCAGCCUGGCUAAAGAAAUCUCCCUGCCACACCCAUCUGCAGAUGUUCAUUGUAAUGUAUUGUGAACGAAAGCACCUUAUAAACAUUAAAAAUAAGAUUUGCAAAACCAUUUUUAAAGGUUUUAUUUGGUAAGCAGUGCUAGGAUCAAAUAAAGUUAAUGGCUUCAUUGCAGGUUGAGGGCAGUGGCCAGGAUAGUCCAGGCGUGCCCAAGGGCAUGGACAUGCUUAGUGGUUUUCCUGACUUUUUAUCUAAACACCAAUUCCAUAUGACAAACUGCUUAACUUGAAGGUUCCCUCAAGUCACUUCCAGGACACCUGGACGGUUAAGUCCAGUCAAAGGCGACUGUGGGGUGCGGCACUCGAUCUCACUUUUCAGGCCGAAGGAGCCUGCGUUUGUCCACAGACAGCUUUUCUGGGUGAUGUGUCCGCAUGACUAAACCGCUUCUGGCACAAUAUAACAUUGUGAUGAAUGCCAGAGUGCACAGAUAUGCCAUUUACCUUCCUCACCACAGCGGUACCCAUUUAUCUACUUGCACUGGUGUGCAUUUGAACAGCUAGGUUGGCAGAAGCUGGGACAGAGCAAAGGGAGCUCACUCAAUUGUGUGAAUUCGAACCUCCAACCUUCUGAUCGGCAAACCCAAGAGGCUCAGUGGUUUAGACCACAGCGCCACCUGUGUCCCUUCUGGAGGAAUAUGCUUUGCAUGAGAGGAUAACUGCUCAUCACCCAAGGAAUGGGCCCCUUCUAAGGGAUCACUUCCCCCUUCCUCAGAGUGACCACCUCAUUCCCUAUUUUAACCCCCAUUCACCAUGACAGCAAGGAGUGGAACACACAGCUAUAACAUCCCUGAAGUCCUCAUCCACCAUCCACUCUGCCUCUCUCAGCUUCUUCAGGUUGACCACCAUGACUUCAAUGGACGAGCAUCUCUGCUCAGGGCCAGAAGCUCAUUGUAUCCAAGUGUCACGGUCCGGUUCACGGGUGAUCGAAGUCCCGGCAAGGGACGUCGGGACCGGGGGUAAGAUGGCAGGGUGGGAGCAGGAACGGGGGUUCAGAAGCAAGGAGCCAAGAGUCUGAAGGUCAGAGAGCCAGGAGUCAAGAAGCCGAGGGUCCGAGGGUCAGGAAGCAAGGAGUCACGAAGUCAGGGGUCCGAGGAUCAAGAAGGAAGGUGUCAAGAAGCUGAGGGUCAAGGAUCAGGAAGCAAGAAGCCAAAUGCAGCAAGGCAGGAAGUGUGUUGCUGUGGCAAAGAGCCGAAGGGAAAUGCUGACCUUAUAUCCCUUCCCAGCUCUUGCCACCAGGUGCUGUGAGUUACCAAUCGGCCUCACCUGUGAGGCUGCACCUUGCCUCUUCAGAACAAACUUAGGAAGGCCCCAGUCCUGCAAAGUCCUAUUGGUCACAGGGCCUGGCUCCUGCACACACACCUAACACCAAGAUACACCCACAACUUUUGUCCAGAAAGCAGAUAGUUGUACGUGUGACAGACAGUGCAAAAUACUGGAAAGCACUUUCUACCUUCAUAACUUUUUUUCUUUUCUUUAUUGAGUUUCAUUAUCUAGGAACUUAGGUUGUGUUUAGGCCAAAGAGCAAAGAGGCUUCCUCACCCUGCUGCUUAACUUGCCUUGACUCUUUUAGCUGGAGUAGAGAGACACUUCAUCAGCUGGGGCUCCCUGUAGCUCAUGGAGCUGAUUGCUGAUGGGUCCCUGCUCCUUCUCAGGACUAGUGUGACAUAUAGCUACUUGAGACUACACAGGGUCUCAAAUAUCUGAUUGGGACAAUGCAUCUUAACUCUGGUAGUGUCCCUGUAGAUAAAUCCAUUUUCAUCAACACCUUAGUGUGUGGGUGUGUCUGUGUAUGCCUUUAAAAUGGCUUUUUAAUGAAUGGAGACUCAGAUGUAUUUAGAGAAAAUGCAGCAGCUGAAAAAGAGGCUCCAAGUACUGGUGGCUGAAAAACUCACAAAUUUUUGUUGCAGGAAGAGAGACAUCAGAAGCAUGGUCUUCUCUUCCCCCAUAAAAUGAUUGGUGUGCGUGUUUUCUAUAUGUCAUAUGAUUUCAGAAAAAAGAAGAACUUGGUUGUCUUUGUAAUAAUCCAGAAUAUGAUGCUCAUGCGACCAGAGGAGAGAUGUAUGCAGUUAUUGUCUUGCUGCAGUGGAAACGUUUGUUGAAUAGACAUGCUUUUGUAAGGAAUUAACAGAGAAAAAGGGACGCGGGUGGCGCUGUGGGUUAAACCACAGAGCCUAGGGCUUGCCGAUCAGAAGGUCAGCGGUUCGAAUCCCCGCGACGGGGUGAGCUCCCGUUGUUCGGUCCCAGCUCCUGCCCACCUAGCAGUUCGAAAGCACGCCAGUGCAAGUAGAUAAAUAGGUACCGCUCUGGCGGGAAGGUAAACGGCGUUUCCGUGCGCUGCUCUGGUUCGCCAGAAGCGGCUUAGUCUUGCUGGCCACAUGACCUGGAAGCUGUACGUCGGCUCCCUCGGCCAAUAAAGCGAGAUGACCGCUGCAGCCCCAGAGUCGGUCACGACUGGACCUAAUGGUCAGGGGUCCCUUUACCUAACUGAGAAAAAGUUGAAAGAUGGGUCUUAUUUUUGAGGUUACUUUAAACUGCCUGUAGGUAGGUAAAAUAGGAACAGAGGAAGCUGCCUUAUACUGAGUCCAAAUAGCUGAGUAAUGUCUACACUGACUGGCAGCAGCUCCUCAGGGAGUUUUCUCAGCCCUUUUUGGAGACACCAGGGAUUGGACCUCUGCACUAUUUGCAUGUAAAGUUUGUGCCCCUCCAGUGAAUUAUGACCCUCUCCAAAGGACCAAAUGUCUCUUUGACUCAUCCAGCCUUCUGUACACAAGAAGUUGCUUUUUUUUCAAAAAAUGAAAUUCAAAGUGACUUACACAAAAUUAGUAGUCUGUAGAUUUUCCAUACAUAACGUAAGUUAGCCUUCGUAAUUGCAACCUGCAUUAGACGACAUGGAUGAUAUAAGUGUAACUUUAUUCGUAAUCAUAAUGAAAACUGUUGCUUUUUUUAAAAAAGUCUGAUAUAAACCAUUGUCUGUAGCAGAUCUGUAAGCGUAUGACCUACGAUGAGUAUAUUGUAUAAUUAUUAUUAUUAAUAAUAAUAAUAUUUUUUUAAUUUAUAUCCCGCCCUCCCCAGCCGAAGCCGGGCUCAGAGCGGCUAACAACAGAUUAUUAUUAUUAUUAUUAUUAUUAUUAUUAUUAUUUAUACCCCGCCCAUCUGGCUGGGUUUCCCCAGCCACUCUGGGCAGCUUCCAACAGAACACUAAAAUACAAUAACCUAUUAAACAUCAAAAGCUUCCCUAAACAGGGCUGCCUUUAGAUGUCUUCCAAAAGUUUGGUAGUUGUUUUUCUCUUUGACAUCUAGUGGGAGGGCGUUCCACAGGGCGGCCGCCACUAUCGAGAAGGCCCUCUGUCUGGUUCCCUGUAACUUGGCUUCUUGCAGCGAGGGAACUGCCAGAAGGCCCUCGGCGCUGGACCUCAGUGUCCAGGUAGAACGAUGGAGGUGGAGACGCUCCUUCAGGUGUACUGGACUGAGGCCAUUUAGGGCUUUAAAGGUCAGCACCAACACUUUGAAUUGUUCUCGGAAACGUACUGGGAGCCAAUGUAGGUCUUUCAAGAUCAGUGUAAUGUGGUCUUGGCGGCCUCUCCCAGUCACCAGUCUAGCUUCAUUCUGGAUUAGUUGUAGUUUCCGGGUCACCUUCAAAGGUAGCCCCACAUAGAGCGCAUUGCAGUAGUCCAAGCGGGAGAUAACCAGAGCAUGCACCACUCUGGCAAGACAGUUCGCAGGCAGGUAGGGUCUCAGCCUGCGUACCAGAUGGAGCUGAUAUAUAAGAGAUGCAGGCAAUGACUGUUUUGCGCGUGUUCAAUAUGUACAAAACUGCGCAUACGCACAUUGCCACAACCUAGAAGUGGCUGGAAAAGGGGGGAGAGCAGGCUUAUGUGCACUCUUCCAACGGGCCUGGGGGUCAGGAACGUAACCCCCACGCAAAACAGUUGUUGCCUAUACAGAAAAAUAGUGAUGGCAUUAUGAGAUAUGUGUGAAAAAGUUCACCCAAGAGAUACAGACUUAAUGCAUUCUUGUUCCCCAGGCAUCCAAUUACUGAACAGGAGCAUCAAUUACAUGGAAAAUAAGCAGCUGGUUUCCCAUCACAAGACCCAGUGUUUACACAGGCCAGACCUGUCUAACUUGUGAUCCACCAGUGCUUGCUCAACCCUCUAGCCAUACAUUCUGACUUUCCUAGGACUGAAUGAACCUCCUGUUUGUACCAUCUACCAGGAACUGUUCAAGAGGAUCAGAAUUGUACAGGUCUAUUUAUCUCUCAUUUGGACAAAGGCGUGCUUGCAAGAUUCUAUGACCUUUGGCUAAACUUGGAUCAGAACCAGAAUACAUAUAUGAGAAAAUGGGUGCGAGAAGUGGGUGGCGGAAGCAUAUCUCCUACUAUAUUUGAAUGGAUCGAGAUAAUUAGGUCCAGGGCUUUUUUUAAAGCAUUGCCAUUAUAAGAGAACAAGGUAGGUGAUCAGGGUGAAUUCUGGCACAUCUUUAUCUAGAAAAAGAGCACUGAUCGUAACUACGAUUAAGCUUACUUAUUAUAAAGUAAUAUAUAUAUAAACCAGCUUAACAGGUUUAUGGAAAAAUAUGUAUGUCUUAUAACAUUUUAGAACAGCAUGUUCAGUGAUAAUGGACAGCCUUACACUGCUUUCAACCUGCUGUAACGGUAUUUAUGCUCUUUUCCUUUCGUUUCUUUUGUUUAUCAAUAAAAUAAAAUUAUUUGGGUUUUUAAAAAAAUAGUACAGGUCUGAGUCAGAUCGCCCAAUUUCAUUCUGUUUUGACAAUCCUAGAACAUCUUGUGGAUGUUCAAAAAUUCAGAGGUACUGGGAAGUAUGACAGUCACAAAAGAUAGGUCUGUCAAUCCAUCCUUCCAUCCAUCCAGAUAUUCAUAAAAAGUUAACUAGACAACCAUUCUGGUGUAAAUAUCAACAUUCAUGAAACUUUGGAUAUUCGCUAUAGCAGUAACUCAGUGCCAGACUUUUAGUGUGUUUGACCCUGCUCUGUGGAACAGUAUUUCUGUUGAGAUUCAACAAGUGCCCACUAUCUACACUUUCCAGAAACAACUGAAAACAUUUUUGUUCCAACAAGCUUUCCCAGUUGGAAGGUCUUUGCUGUGGGCGUCUACCUUGCAGUGUUUUAAAAUUCAUCUGCUGUUGAUGGUUGUGUUGUUGUCAACUGUUUCUUUUAGCUUUAUUGUACAUGCUAAAGGUAAAGGUAAAGGGACCCCUGACCGUUAGGUCCAGUCGCGGACGACUCUGGGGUUGCGCGCUCAUCUCGCUCUAUAGGCCGAGGGAGCCUUCAUUUGUCUGCAGACAGCUUCCAGGUCAUGUGGCCAGCAUGACUAAGCUGCUUCUGGCGAACCAGAGCAGCGCAUGGAAACGCCGUUUACCUUCCCGCCGGAGCGGUACCUAUUUAUCUAUUUGCACUUUGAUGUGCUUUCGAACUGCUAGGUUGGCAGGAGCUGGGACCAAGCAACGGGAGCUCACCCUUCUGAUCAUCAAGUCCUAGGCUCUGUGGUUUAACCCACAGUGCCACCCGCAUCCCUAUUGUACAUGGUACAUCACCAUAUAACAACAACUUCAGGCACCUCUACCUGAAUAGAAGCUGUGUCACCAAUACAUAGCCACAUAAUGUACCUGAAGUUUUUAUUUUAAAAAAUAAGAAGAAAGGUUGUUACAGAAAUUUUACAAUAUACACAUAAGUAUAUGGAACAGAAGUUCAGUCAUGUUCCAUAAACAUCUGCAGUAGCUUUUCCCCUAAGUAAUCAAUAGUAGACCUAAUCCCCCCCCCCCAAAUGAUACUGUUACAGGUUUUGAGUACCAGUCUGUCGGUGCAAGUCACCCAUAAAUAAUAAAAAAUUAUUAUUAACACCAAACCCUGGUUAAGUGCUAAGAACACUUAAUAAUAAUAAUAAUAAUAAUAAUAAUAAUAAUAAUAAUGAACCCUUGACUCUUCUGCAGCACUUGGCAGAGACUAGGGUGGCCAGUAACAUUGCAUAUACUGGUUGGCACUUUCCUCCCCAUGUGUACAGCAAGUUGUGAGACUCCUGGACCAGACUUGAGUCUACAGUGGGGACAGAGACUUAAUUCCCCACACCCUCCCCAUUGUCUUGAUUCAGAUGCACUCUGGUGCUUGCUUUUUACUAUCUCAAAAUGUUCAGAGGAAUGCUGAUUGCAUUAAUGAUGUUACAUGAAAAUUGGCGCACACAGCGAAGACUGGUAUGCACUGUGUACCUAUUUAAAACAUAGCACGGGAAGUAUCCCCCGCAGCCACUCAAGCUAGCCCCAUUCUGCUUUCAUGGCUUCAGAUCCCAGAUAACAGAGUCCUAACGUUUAGUCCUCUUAAAUCAUUUUUGUUUAUUGCAGACAACAUUGAACUAGACAAACUAUUCUUCUUUUUAAGCACUCCACUCAUUAUCCCAGUUUACUUUUGCUUUUCCUCUGAAGACUGAAAGCUCUGAGUCAUAAUCAGCAUGUAUAUUUAGAUACUGGGCCUUCUGAUGGGAAAUCAGCUGUUGACUCUGUAUAACCGGUGUUCCCGCCUAGUAAUUGAAUAUCUGGGGAAUAAGAAUGCCUUAAGUUAACUAUUUAUAUCUUAAGCAAACAUUCAUUUAUGGGUCUUGGCAGGCCAAUCAUUAGUUUCCUAUAGAUGAACAAACACAGAAAAUAUAUUAUCAUUUCCUUCUUUGGCGAUCACACAUAGCCAAGAUUGUCUUCCAUGACUAUGGUCUUAACAGUUGUGUCUGUAAGUGACUAUGGAGGCCAAUUUUGGAUCCGCACAUACUUCCACAAUGGGGACAUAGGUUUCUGGGCAGGAGUUGAUCAUGGUGAGGAUUUGCCAAACGUGCCUUCCUCUUAGCUUGUUUCUCCCUUUCGUCCUGAGUUUGAGCGUCUUCAAAGUCCAUGAUGCCUUUGGUAAGACUGUUCUCCAGUUGGAGCGCUCACAGGCCAAUCAGUUGGAGCGCUCGUCUUGGCAGGCCAAUCAUUAGUUUCCUGUGGAUGAACACAGCCACAUGGAACCCUGGUAAUCAGUAAAAAAAUUCCCAAGGGAUGAGUUGAACCAUACCUCUGCCAAAAAUUACCAUGCUUUUCGCUCUAUAAGACGCACCAGACCACAAGACGCACCUAGUUUUUGGAGGAGGAAAACAAGAAAAAAAAAUUCUGAAUCUCAGAAGCCUGAACAGCAAGAGGGAUCGCUGCGCAGUGAAAGCAGCAAUCGCUCUUGCUGUUCUGGCUUCUGGGAUAGCUGCGCAGCCUGCAUUCACUCCAUAAGAUGCACACACAUUUCCCCUUACUUUUUAGGAGGGAAAAAGUGAGUCUUAUAGAGCAAAAAAUACGGUAUUUUUAAAAAAUUGAGGGAACCAAAGAAGGGGGAGUGCUUGAGGGAAUGUGGUGCCCACAGGUGCCACUUUGAGGAUCCCAGCUUUGGACCAUGUUCUGGGAUCAAAUCUUAUAUGGGGUAUCCAUCGACUGACACCACCAAUUCUAUACAGUUGAAAAAUUCAAUCUGUUUAAAGGUAAAGGUAAAGGUACCCCUGCCCGUACGGGCCAGUCUUGCCGGACUCUAGGGUUGUGCGCUCAUCUCACUCUAUAGGCCGGGAGCCAGCGCUGUCCGCAGACACUUCCGGGUCACGUGGCCAGCGUGACAAGCUGCAUCUGGCGAGCCAGCGCAGCACACAGAAACGCCGUUUACCUUCCUGCUGGUAAGCGGUCCCUAUUUAUCUACUUGCACCCGGGGGUGCUUUGGGACUGCUAGGUUGGCAGGCGCUGGGACCGAACGACGGGAGCGCACCCUGCCGCGGGGAUUCGAACCGCCGACCAUGCGAUCGGCAAGUCCUAGGCGCUGAGGUUUUACCCACAGCGCCACCCGUGUCCCAUUCAAUCUGUUUGCCUACACACAAAGGAAUAGUCGCUUGAGUGGAACAGACAAGGUAAUGAAAUAUAUGCUUCGCAGGAAGAGAGGCCAUUCCUAGACGAGAGGGUAGUAAGCCUUACACCGCUUCAUUUGCUUCAUUGCAUGAUGAUCGCUUUGUGCGGCGCUUAAUUAAAAUACGUGCCAUUUGUAGCUAUUAAGAUCGAUUUUCCUCCUCUGUGAUUGCAGCUGCAUUGUGCUCGUUGACCUGUUCGCUGAGUGGGUUGUUUGUGUUGUUUUUGUGAGCCAACCCGAUGCCAAUGCAUUGCUGCUAAUGUGCUGUUUAAUUUCAUCCUGCAUCAAUCAUGCACAUUGUCUCUUUUGUUUUUGACGUUUCAAAGCCAAUAAAGAAAGCCAAUUCUGAUUAAUGGGGCCCAGAAAUCUUGACAGUGGUUGUUUAUUUGUUGAGGAGAAAGCAUAGGCAAAAGAUUUUCAUGUAGAGGAAGUGGGAUAGAGAACAGUUUUCUCCCUCUUUCUAGAACUCGAACUCAGGAGUAUCCGAUGAACCUGGAUGUUGGAAAAUUCAGUACAGACAUAAACACACACACACACCCCUUCUCCACUACUCUGCGCUACAAAGAUAUCUGCAAAUGUGACAUGAAGGCUGGCAAUGUCGAACACCCAUCCUUGCAGACGACUGCAGUGCCUGGAGACAGACAGUCAGGCCCUGCAUGUAUAACAGAGACCAGAGGAGGAAUGACUGCUUGGGACGCCAAAAUUCAGCACCCCUCCACUUCUCAUGCUCCUUUCUAUUAUGUAAUCAUUUUUAUUGGUUUUACAAAUUUGUUGUUGUUGUUUAGUCGUGUCCGACUCUUCGUGACCCCAUGGACCAGAGAACGCCAGGCACUCCUGUCUUCCACUGCCUCCCGCAGUUUGGUCAAACUCAUGUUCGUAGGUUCGAGCACACUGUCCAACCAUCUCGUCCUCUGUGGUCCCCUUCUCCUUGUGCCCUCCAUCUUUCCCAACAUCAGGGGCUUUUCCAGGGAGUCUUCUCUUCUCAUGAGAUGGCCAAAGUAUUGGAGCCUCAGCUUCCGGAUCUGUCCUUGCAAUGAGCACUCAGGGCUGAUUUCCUGCAGAAUGGAGAGGUUUGUUCUUCUUGCAGUCCAUGGGACUCUCAAGAGUUUCCUCCAGCACCAGAAUUCAAAAGCAUCAAUUCUUCAGUUUUAUAAAUACAAAGUACAAAUAAACACAAGCUAGUAAAAACAUAUUGACAACAUUUUGGAGAUCCCAAGUCACAAGGUGGUUAGGUUGGUCUUAACUAGGGCCAGGGCCUUUUCAGUUCUGGCUCCAACUUGGUGGAACACUCUGUCACAAGAGACUAGGACCCUACGGGACUUGACAUCUUUCCGCAGGGCCUGCAAGACAGAGCUGUGCUGCCUGGACUCAGUCUGACCCUUAUGUUUCCCUCCCCUUUAUGAUUUUGACUUUUAAAAUGAGGCUGCAUUUUAAAUUACAUUUUAACCUGUAUUUUAAAUUGUUCUUUUUCUUUUUUCUUAUUAUGUUUUUACUGAAAUUUUAUUGGUGUUAGCUGCACUGAGCCCGGCUCUGGCCGGGGAGGGCGAGGUAUAAAUAAAUUUAUUAUUAUUAUUAAUUAUUAUUAUUAUUAUUAUUAUUAUUAUUUCUGUAUAUGAAGAUUCUCCAAAUCUCAAAACAUUCCCUCCACGGGGUCUCAUUUUAAACAUCUACAGCUGCAUAUUCAUCCAUACUCCUUUUUUUAUAUCAAACCAUAUUGUCCAUAAUAAUUUUUACACUACAAGUGAGUCAAAAUCCUGCUCGUUUCCAUCUGCUUAGCUUACAUUUUUUUCCCAUUCUUUUAUAAAGUUUUUAUCCUCUUGGUUUUUGAGUCCUUUCUAAAUCAUAGUUGGGGCUUCCCUGAGGCUCCCUGCUCAGUGUAGCCGAAGCAGACUCACUCCUAUAAAUCCGCCUCUACGGGGUGGAGAGCAGUGAGAAGAAACACCAUGGCGCUGCUGCAGCAGCACAACCAGAUGCCUUUGUCUGCCCCAGCUGCAACAAAACAUGUCUCUCCCAUAUCGCUCUCUACAGCCACAGCAGGCGCUUCCAACAGUUUGACUUCAUCCCCCAAAGGUGCAGUCCUCCAUUGUCUCCCGAGACAGACGGAUGUCAGCCAACCAACCACACCACUUUAACAGUUGUGGCUUCCCCCCUCCCCCACCAAAAUCCUGGGAACUGUAGGUCAUUAAGGGUUCUGAGAGUUGUCAGGAGACGCCCCACACAGAACUACAAUUCCCAACAUCCUUUGAAAACAACAGUUCCCAAGAUUCUUGGGGGGGGGGGAGAGAGCCAUGACUGUUAAAGUGAUAUAAAAAGGUAAAGGGACCCCUGACCAUUGGGUCCAGUCGUGACCGACUCUGGGGUUGUAGCACUCAUCUCGCUUUAUCCGCAAAGGGAGUCGGCGUACAGCUUCCGGGUCAUGUGGCCAGCACGACUAAGCCGCUUCUGGCGAACCAGAGCAGCGCACAGAAACGCCGUUUACCUUCCCGCCAGAGCGGUACCUAUUUAUCUACUUGCACUUUGACAUGCUUUCGAACUGCUAGGUUGGCAGGAGCUGGGUCCGAGCAACGGGAGCUCACCCCGUCUUUAAAUAUGUGGUGUGACUCUUGUUAUUCGUGGCAUCGUACGCUGCAGAGUUUCACACACAGCAGUUGAAGUGCUAGCUGAAAGGUAUGAUGUGGAGAAGUACAUUUGAGCAUCACUGAAUUGUGGGUUGAACAUUAAGUUUUCUGCAACAGGUUCACCCAUAAGGAAGAGGUCUGCGUCUCGUGUCAUGCAGCAGAACAGCUCCAAGUGAAAGUGCCCUGCUCUCUUCCUUCCAACCCACCCCCACCUCCGCGUGACAUCUGUACAAGCUUUAAAUGAACAAAGAGAGCAUUAGCAGCAGUUACAAAAGCCAAUUCUAGGCUAAUUUUUAGCACUGACAUAACUACGUUCCUCCCAGAAACACAAACGGACCUCUUGAGGGCGGAGCGGCGGAAGUAUCCGAUUUCUGCAAAUAUUGCCCUGCAGCAAUUGCUGUGGCCGCACAUGCUGGAUAAUGAAUUGGUGUUGCUCGGAAGUCAAAUUUAGGCCAAAUAUUACAUAAGUGCAUAAGCAAUGCUAAUCUUAAUCCCUUUCCAGGCAUCUCCCUUGCUCCAUCUAGGCCUGCUGCUGCUCUUAAGCUAAAAAGCUCUUCUCCCAUUUGUGAAUUGCCCAGGGCACUUUCAUUUCCAUGGCCAGAUUUGUUUCUUGGGAGCUGAGGGGGUGGGGGAUUUGUGGGUGUUAGAGGGAGAAGCCACCAGGGUUGUUGCUAAAGACAGAUAAUUGCUAGGUAAAUGUCUGCAGUCGGGAUGCGUGAGGCAUGUGCAGAAUGCAGAGGAGAAGGAUCUGUAUAUUGCAGAGACCCUUGCAAUGGCACCGUGGGCAAUUCUGGAGUGUAGGCACUCUUAAUCUAUUCAUUAUUAAAUUUAUAUCCUGCCUUUCCUCCCAAAGGAGCCCAAGACAGCAAGACAGCAGCCCAUCCAUCCUACCAUGUACCCCACUACUGCCACCACAUAUUGUUUGGCUGAACUGCAAUAAUAAUAAUAAUAAUAAUAAUUUAUUAUUUGUACCCUGCCCACUGGCUGGGUUUCCCCAGCCACUCUGGGUGGCUUCCACAGAGACCAAAAAUACAUUAAAAUGUCACACAUUAAAAACUUCCCUGAACAGGGCUGCCUUAAGAUGUCUUCUGAAUGUCAGGUAGUUGUUUAUCGCUUUGACAUCUGAUGGGAGGGAGUUCCACAGGGCGGGCACCACUACUGUACUUCUUGAGACAAUAAAUUAUUAUUUUUUAAAAUGCCAAGAAACAAACAAACCAGCCAUAUUCCUUCUCAGGCUAUACAGCAAAAUGAUUUAUUAUUAUUUUUUGACCCACACAGACCUGACGGCUUCAACACAUUGCUUAAAAUUGCUUUAAUAUUCAGUCUAAACCAGCCUGCUUGCUAUUUGGUGACAUUUUACUUGGUCAUAAUAGAGGAUCCACCUGUGCUGGGCCCGGGGGUAACCCGUGAAACACGGUCCCGGUCCGGUCCAAAAUCCAAAGGUUCUGCUGGGAGUCAGUCCGACGGGGCCAAGGCAGGACACGAGGCAGGAAACCAGGCAAAGACAGGUACAGGAUCUCAGGCAGGAUCUAGCAUACAACAAUGUUCCCGCAACCUGGGGCGCUGUCCGACAGCCUUUUAUCUUUGUUGGGGUAGUGGCCGGUCCUGAUCCCCCAGAGACUCACCUCCCUGUUUCGCCCAAAGGCGAGCACUCCUCCUGCGAGUACUCAGGUCUCUCCUUCUCUCAGGCCUUAGUCUGCAGCUCAGGAGACGUCGGUGGGUUACUAGACCCAGGGGCCGCCUCAGCCUCCCCUGACCCAACCGGUAGUGGAGCAGCUGUAAGUGAUGGCCCAGCUGAAAGCAACAAGGUUAUCCCCAUAUCUGGAGCCAGGGCAGGCUCCGGCCCCUGACUCGGCCCAGCUGGUGUUUGUUGCAGGGGAACCUGUGCAGACUGGGACUCUUCAGAAUCAGGCCUCAGACUUGGUUCAGAUGAUGCCUGAGGCAAAGGAUCCAGUGCAGACUGAGUCUCCUCUGGUUCCGAGUCCGAGUCCCAGACCAUCACCCCCCCCAAAAAAAAAUAAUGGCAGCCAUGCAUACGACCCAUUCCUUUGCUUAGCAUAUACAGCACCUCCACAUGAUUGACACACUGCAUCCCAAGAAAUGACAUCAUUCGUCUUUCUGUGAUCAGGGCUGUCUUUACCUUGGGGGUGCAAGGGGUGCGGGCACCUGGGGGCCGAAUUCUGGGGGGCGCCAAAUGUAUACCUACUGUAUACCGGUCCCUCUCGAUUGGUGGCAGUGAAAAGCAAUGGAUCAAAAGUCCCCCUCCCCACCUCUGUUACUCUGUAGCGUCAAAUAUUCCUACCGAGUCAGGAAACAAAAGCAGUUUUUUCAGCUGUGUCGUUGUUACAGGUGAGUGAUCCCCCCCCCCAAACAACUUUGGCUUCGCCCCUCCCCCCCAAAAUCUCAAUAAAAGUUAAUUUUGGGGUGGCUAAACUAAAUUUGGGGGCGCCGGACAGAUCUUUGCACCCCAGCAGCACAUAUGCUAAAGACGGCCCUGUCUGUGAUACAGUGGUGCCCCGCAAGACGAAUGCCUCGCAAGACGGAAAACUCGCUAGACGACAGAGUUUUCCGUUUUGGAGGUGCUUCGCAAAACGAAGCUCCUAUGGGCUUGCUUCGCAAGACGAAAAUGUCUUGCGAGUUCCUGCGGUUUUUUUUCCCUUCCCCCCCCCUUUUUCUAAGCCAUUAAGCCACUUAUCUGCUUAUCCGAUAAACUGAUAAGCCGCUAAAAGCCACUAAUAGCGCUAAUAGCGCUAAUCCGCUAAUCCGUCAAUGGGCUUGCUUCGCAAGACGAAAAAACCGCUAGACGAAGAGACUCACAGAACGGAUUCUUUUCGUCUUGCGAGGCACCACUGUAUAAGCAUUCGUGCUUUGUCCCUGGAGUGCUUCUGCUCCACUACACCACUGGAAGCGAUGUGGUCAUCCACUAUGUUUCUGUGCAGAGUAGGAAUGUGCCCAUUUUGGUUCUCUCCAUUUCCCAGUUCUCCGUAUUUUGCAGCAACUUAUGGUGGUGGUGUUGUUUUUUUAAAAAAAAUCCUCAUGAAAACUCAUCAGCAUGUUAGCGUGAACUUUUCCCAAUGAACACUUUUAUACACAGCUUUGACUAAUGCACACAUUCUCGCAAAUGGCUUCCCCUUUUUACAAUGCAUUCUUAUAUGCCGUUUUCACUAACAUCUUCACUCCUGUGCACCCUUUCCCCCCAACAUUUGCAUUUUUGUAAACAUUGGUUGGAGAACUGCAUUGCAAAAUUUGGAUAGAUAUGGAUAGCUGUGUUUUGGUUUGCAUAGUGUUUUGGAGCGUGCAAAUUUGGCAAGAUUCAGCUUUAAAUGAAUAGAGUUUCUCCUGCAUCCCUAUUGCAGAGACAUGGUGCUGUUAGACACCUCUUGCGUUGGAGGCUGGGUCACCAAGGGAUCUCAGGAAGAUCAAAGCUCACCUGGAUGACUUGUGUUCACUUCUGGAUGCGGCAGUUUAAGGAGGAUCUCAAGAAACGAAUGCUUCCAGAGAAGUGUGAUAAUGAUGACGAGGGGCCUGGAGUCAAAAUCCUAUGGGGGGAAAGUUGAAGAAGUUGAGUAUGUUUACUGUGGGGACAAGAGACAAUUCAGAUGCCAUAUGAGAGCUAACUUUGAAUAUCUGAAGGGUCGUCAUACAGAGGGUAGGACCUGAACCAGCAAGUUCAAAUUACAAGGGUGUAGAGCAUGGGUAGGCAAACUAAGGCCCGGGGGCCGGAUCCGGCCCAGUCGCCUUCUAAAUCUGGCCCGCGGGCGGUCCAGGAAUCAGCAUGUUUUUACAUGAGUAGAAUGUGUGCUUUUAUUUAAAAUGCAUCUCUGGGUUAUUGGGGAGAGCAUAGGAAUUCGUUCAUUCCCCCCCCAAAAAAAAUAUUAUCCGGCCCCCCACAAGGACUGAGGGACAGUGGACCAGCCCCCUGCUGAAAAAGUUUGCAGACUAAACACGACUAAACAAGAGGAAGAACUUCUUGGUGGUGUGAGCUGUGGAACAGGCAAGCUCUGACAUAGCCUCCAAGUCAAAGCUUGCAUUGCUCCGGGAGGAGAUCAACUGAUGUGGUCAAAUCCAGUUCCAACCCAAAGACCACUCCUGAAAUUGGCCCACUCUGACCUGAACCAACUAGAAAGCAAUGACCAAUAGCUCCAUAUUUCCUUCCUCCAGUGUUGAGCUCUAUUAAGUUCUUACUGUUAGCACUGGGCUGUUAGCUUAAAUUUUGUAGCUUCUGGCUGUCCACAAAUUGAAUUCUCAGGGUAAAGGAAGAAUCUUAGGCAGAAGAUACAAACAGCUGCUUUUAUCACUGAACUGUGUCAGCCCUUUGGAGCACGGCUGGAAGUGUUCCAUCUGAAACUAAUGGCACCUGAAACUGAUACAGUCAAAAUGCAUUCUUUGACUUCCAUAUAUUUUUAAUGAGGUGCUUUCAGCUUUCAAUUAGGUGGUGCCAGCAGAGGUAGCCCUUAUUCAAAUAUCCCCCAACCCCAGUACCUUGGGGUGACCUAUGGUGUACAUAAACUGCUGCCCAAAACUUUUAGGUUGCAUAUACCAUGGCAGAGAUUUGAAUCAAUGUAAUUAAAAGGUUUCUCUCUAAAUAGAUCUGGGUUUUCCCUCUUUUCUGCCUCAUUGUUUUAUUUCAGCGAGAACCACAAAGCUCAACAGCAUAUGUGACGUCUCCUUAGAUAUGGUUUUGAUGUGCUGUUUGAUUAACUUGUUUCCUAAGAAUGUAAGAAAAGUCCUGUUGGAUCAGAUCGUUGGCCCAUUUCAUUCAGCAACCUGCCAUAGCUGUCAAGUGUCCCUUAUUUGAAGGGACAGUCCCUUAUUCCAGUGCCAUGUCCCGCUGCUGUCCCUUAUUGAUAGAUGUCCCUUGAAUGUCCCUUAAAUGAUGUCCCUUAAAUUUCAAAGGAAGCAGCUCCUCUCCCUCCCUCCCUGCCGGCCAGGGAGGUGGGAGGCUCCAACUGUGUUGCUUGGCUGUGUUGCUCACCCAAUAAGAAGUCUAAGAACAACUGGGGGGUGGAGCUUGUAUGCCUUGUGUGUGGCUAGUUAAUGCAAGCUGAGAGAGUUUUUGAAUGCUGGACGCCAUUUUGUUGCACGUGCUGCUGCAAACUUUGCAGUGCAAAGCCAGGCCGGGGAGCCAUCUUAAGUUGAGGCUGCAUAGGCCUUGUGGUGCAUGUGAUUCAGAUUCUAUUCAGUUGAACCUCUGGUUACAAAGUUGGUUGGACAGUGUUCUCGAAGCUACCAGCAUGAGUUUGACCAGACUGUAGGAGGACAGGAAGACUGGAGUGCCUGGAACAGGUGAGGCUGCAGGUCCCUUAUUUUGGCUGCUGGUCCCUUAUUUUCAAGGCUGCUGGUCCCUUAUUUUCAAAUCUGUAAGUUGACAGCUAUGCAACCUGCCCCUGGGAAGCCCACAAACAACACCCAGGUCUCUGCUGGCGUUCUCUUACCAAAGAGUACCUACCCCAAACCUGGCUCUUAGCAUCUAGGAAUUCUCCUUUCUGUGGGGGAUUUUUUCCCCACUAACACAAAGCAGGUGGGAGGAGGCAGGCUGAGGGUAAGUGUGCUAUUGUGUUAAUUCACAAAAGCUGGGUCUGAAUUACCUUAAAGGCCACCUGAUUCAUAUGUUUCUCCUUGGCCACUGAGGUCUUCUGAUGGAGAAUGGUGGCCUCACAUGCCCCUGAGGUUUACCAGGGACCAAGGCUUUAGUGUGACAGGCCACCUGUCCUUUGGAACUCCUUGCCAGUGGAAGUUCAGCAGGAGCCAUCCCUGCUCGCUUUUAAAACUUGUAAAUCCUGAAGCUGAGGCUCCAAUACUUUGGCCACCUCAUGAGAAGAGAAGACUCCCUGGAAAAGACCCUGAUGCUGGGAAAGAUUGAGGGCUCAAGGAGAAGGGGACGACAGAAGACGAGAUGGUUGGACAGUGUUCUCGAAGCUACCAGCAUGAGUUUGACCAAGUUGCGGGAGGCAGUGGAAACAGGAGUGCCCGGUGUGCCUGUGUCCAUGGGAUCACGAAGAGUCGGACACGACUAAACAACGACAGUUAUUCAGACAGGUCUUUCAAACCUGAUAGGCUUUGCCACCUAGCCUUGACUGAUGUGUUUGACAUUUUUAAUUCUUUUUACUGUAUUACUGUGUUUUUGUUUGUUUGUACACCACCUUGUGAUAUUUUUACAUGAAAGUACAGUUUAUAAAUGCCUAAACAAAUAAAACAUACUGCAUUUUGAUUUAAUGUAAUUACUACUAACACUGAAUCUAUACAUAUAAAUUAAAAAGGUAAAGGUAAAGAACCCCUGACAGUUAAGUCCAGUCGCGAACGACUCUGGGGUUGCGGUGCUCAUCUCACUUUACUGGCCGAGAGAGCCAGCGUUUGUCCGCAGUUUUCCCGGAUCAUGUGGCCAGCAUGACUAAGCCGCUUCUGGCAAAACCAGAGCAGCGCACGGAAACACCAUUUACCUUCCCACCAGAGCGGUACCUAUUUAUCUACUUGCACUUUGAUAUGCUUUUGAACAGCUAGGUUGGCAGGAGCUGGGACCGAGCAAUGGGAGCUCACCCCGUUGCGGGGAUUCGAACCACUGAACUUCUGAUCAGCAAGCCCAAGAGGCUCAGUGGUUUCGACCACAGCGCCACUCGCGUCACACAUAUAAAAUAGGACCUGCAAAUUUCAUGUAUAGUUGUGCCCUUUUCAGUGGGGAUGCAUUUAUGUGUCUUCCUUUUGGUGAUAGUCACCUUCUUUUAUAAUAAGCUCAAUAGCCCCUACUGUUCAGCAUAAGACGGGUUGUGGGAGGCAAGUUGCCUUCCAGAAAACUUGCCUGCGAUGACUCAUCUCCUUACUGAUGAACCUUUUCUAAGCUUGGGGGGAAGCUUAAGGGUCCUUCGAACAUUGUUUGAAAAUGUCUGUCUUUGAUAUAACACCCAUCCUUCAAGCUGAUGAAGUUGCAUUGGAAGUGAAGCUUCGGAAUUUGCCUGCAUUGUAACACAUGAUUGACGUUUAUUGCCAUAGAAGAUGCAUUUUUUAAAAGUUGUUAGUGGCUGUUUUUAAAAAAAAUGUUGCUGAGAUUGGGAAAGGUAAAACUGCUGCUUAGACUUUAAUUUGGCUCUCAGGUUUACUGCCUCUCUCUCAAUGCCAAAAUAUAUUAUAUUUCAGCGUUCUAGUGUUGACUACCAACCUAUUUAAAUAUUCACCAGGAGCCCAUUGCCAAGAUAGAUUAAUUCAUGGCAUCGUGUCCUAGGCAAGCUGUCAAAUUGUCAGAAUUAUUUGAAUUGUCAGUGCCCUUUGUGACAAUGUCGUAGGGGAAGAAGCAAAGACUCCCUUGCAGUUGGAUGCAUCUCCAGGAAUAUAUUUGCCCCUUGUUUAUUUAGCAUCCCCAACCCCUGACUCAAAAGAAAACUGGAUGUGUUAACUGAUGCCACAAAAAGGUCAAAGCAUACUCCGAGUUGAAGCCUAUUUACAAACAUCCCUACAAGUAGAGGUGUUGAUGGAUACUUAAAAUCCACAGGGCACGGGUCCAUGGCAUAAGUUUGCAUAAAAUCAGCCUUCUGAGCAGAUUAAGACAGUGAGGCUGAGGUCUCACCUGCACUGCGCUCUGCAGUCUUGUGUUAAGUCAGCAGGUCGCGAGACUGUUCUUAGCUAUGGCCCCACUGAUCAAUUUGAAAUACUGUAUUUUUUGCUCUAUAAGACUCACUUUUUCCCUCCCAAAAAUAAGGGAAAAUGUGUGUGUAUCUUAUGGAGCGAAUGCAGGCUGCGCAGCUAUCCCAGAAGCCAGAACAGCAAGAGGGAUUACUGCUUUCACUGUGCAGUGAUCCCUCUUGCUGUUCUGGCUUCUGAGAUUCAGAAUAAUUUUUUUCUUGUUUUCCUCCUCCAAAAACUAGGUGUGUCUUGUGGUCUGGUGCGUCUUAUAGAGCAAAAAAUACAGUAUGUCCCUAGUGAAAAAUGAGUUCGAAGGGACGCGUUCCCCACUCCCCUUUUAGUGUUAUUCUUAAAGGCGGCAUGCUCAGAUUUCUAGCAUUUGUAGAAAUGAAUUGUAAACAGGCGAGUUGGUGACUGGGGAAACAUGAGGCCACCUUUGGAAGGUAGAUUAUAUUUCAACACAGGCUUGCACUUUCAGUAAACAAACAGUAGCAUUUUGCAUCUUAUUUCUUCUGUUGAGAAGUAUUUCCCCUGAUGAGCCCCAUUUUUGCAUUCAUCUUAAGCAGGCUUCUCAAUAAAAGAUCAUUAUCCCUCUUUCUUUCUUUCUUUCUUUCUUUCUUUCUUUCUUUCUUUCUUUCUCCUUCCCACUUCUCUCUCUCUCUCCCUCCACCAACCUCACAAUGCAUAUGGCAGCAAAGUCUCACAUUGAAUGUACUGACAUGUAGAAAGGACUCUAUGAACUGAAAACGUUGAUACCCUCCAACAUUUCUCCAAUGAAAUAGCGGCAUCCUAAGGAAAAGCGGGACAUUCCAAGAUCAAAUCAGAAACCAGGACGGCUUCUGUAAAUAUGGGACUCUCCCUGGAAAAUAUGGACAUUUGGAGGGUCUGGACUUUAUAUGUACCUUUGUCAUCCAUUAAAAUCUUUUUUUUUAAAGAAAGAAAAACAACAACACAAACCUUAGGAGUGCAAAGACACCAUUUGAACUUCCUACAAAUGAAGUUCCUUGCCACCUCCUCACAUUUCUCCCAUUAGAGUUAAUUGCUUAACAUCUUCAGGUGAUUAGCACCUCCUCAAGGGGGUUACAUGAAAGAGACCAUGGAGACAAGAGUGGGAUGGAUGUCUUAGGGAAGCAGGAUAGCUAGAGAUGGUUAGGCCAGGUCAAACGCUGAGUGUUGAAUCAUUUCCUGGGGUAUCAGGUGGUGGUUGACUUGCCCACAUCUCCAGAGGCAUUCUAUGUUGCUGUGUUGAAAGCAACCAUCUUACUUGGUACUGGAGCUUGAAGUGAAAAGAAGUUUAGCAAUAAAAUAAAAUCAGAAUUUACCUGUCAGGGAUCAGGAGUCAGAUGUCUCUUCAGCGGGUGAUGGAGGUGAGGGCUCCACACCUGAGGGGGAAAGGGCACUAUCCUCUGGCUCGCAGGUCUCUGCUUGCAAUGUUCUCUGUUUAACGAUGGUUCUAGUUAGAGGUAGGUAGCCGUGUUGGUCUGCCGUAGUCGAAACAAAAUAAAAUUAAAAUAAAAACAUAAAAAAAUUCCUUCCAGUAGCACCUCAGAGACCAACUAAGUUAGUUAUUGGUAUGAGCUUUCGUGUGCAUGUACACUUAAGUAUCUGAAGAAGUGUGCAUGCACACGAAAGCUCAUAUCAAUAACUAACUUAAGGUAAAGGUAAAGGUAAAGGGACCCCUGACCAUUAGGUCCAGUCGUGACCGACUCUGAGGUUGCGGCGCUCAUCUCGCUUUAUUGGCCGAGGGAGCCAGCAUACAGCUUCCAGGUCAUGUGACUAGCAUGACUAAACCGCUUCUGGCGAACCAGAUUAGCGCACAGAAACGCCGUUUACCUUCCCGCCAGAGCGGUACCUAUUCAUCUACUUGCACUUUGAUGUGCUUUCAAACUGCUAGGUUGGCAGGAGCAGGGACCGAGCAACGGGAGCUCACCCCGGCGUGGGGAUUCAAACCGCCGACCUUCUAAUCGGCAAGUCCUAGGCUCUGUGGUUUAACCCACAGCACCACCCGCAUCCCUUAGUUGGUCUCUAAGGUGCUACUGGAAGGAAUUUUUAAUAUAUUUUUUAAUGAUGGUCAGGUCAGAGAAGUUGAACAAUAAAGAGUUUUAUUAAAUAACUAUGUACACCUUGCCUUUUCUCCCUCGGCUACUUUCUCCUCUGCUUCCCACCCUUGCUUGGUCCUUAUCUCCUGAAGUAACUCAUACCCUCCCACACCUUGAAGCCAAAUUCCACUACGCCAUCUUUCCAGUUGCCAUCUUCCACGUCACGGUCCCACUGCCCAAAAAGCGUUUUCUUUAGGUAUGGUGCACAAAACGUGUGUUUUGUGGCACCGCAUGAGACUGCAGCCCUGAAAAAGCGCUUUUUCCAUGGGGAAAUUGCACAAGAUCACAGCAACAAAAAUGGCUGCCAUUCUCUCACAAAAAAGGGAUGUCCUGGGAAAAAAACCUUGCAGGAUAUGCUAACUGUGUGAGAUGCCCCUAAAGGUAUAGACUGCUGCAGAAGACCUGAGGGUUCUCAGAAAAAACAUAAUAAAGCCUUUUCUCAAGAAAAAACAUAAUAAAGCCUUAAAAAAUAUUUUUGUGUCAUGCACCGUUAACGAAAUACACCUGUUUGUGUAUUAAAUUUGCUUACUAUUUAAAUACAGUGGUGCCUCGCAAGACGAAAAGAAUCCGUUCCGCGAGUCUCUUCGUCUUGCGGUUUUUUCAUCUUGCGAAGCAAGCCCAUUAGCGGUUUAGCGGAUUAGCGCUAUUAGCGGCUUAGCGGGCUUAGCGGAUCAGCUGAUAAGCGGCUUAGCGGCUUAGCGGAUCAGCUGAUAAGCCGCUUACUGGCCGAGGGAUCAGCUGUUAGCGGCUAGCGGAUCCGCUGAUAAGCGGCGUAGCGAUCAGCUGUUAAGCGGCUUAGCGGCUUAGCGGAUCAGCUGAUACGCGGCUUAGCGGCUUGGGGAAAAGGGGGGGGGGAGGAAAAAACCCCCGCAGGAACUCGCAAGACAUUUUCGUCUUGCGAAGCAAGCCCAUAGGAAAUUCGUUUUGCGAAGCACCUCCAAAACGGAAAACCCUUUCGUCUAGCGGGUUUUCCGUCUUGCGAGGCAUUCAUCUUGCGGGGCACCACUGUAUAUUAAAUCUAUGUUUAAAGUUAUAUUCUAUUAAGUUUCAAUCUUUUUAACAUAUACAAUCAAAACAUUAUAACCAAAACAUUAUAAUCAAAACAUAUAAAUACAUUAAAUCUCUUAAUUGUGCAGUUAACAAUAUAUAUUAAAUAUAUCAAUUGUAUAUGAAAUAAUAGUAAAUAUAUUGCGAACACUUUACAAUAUGGAAAUUCAGUUCAGUGUGUGGCCUGCAGGUUCUGUGGUGAAGUACUCUUGCAGCCCACUUGGCAUGAAAAACGUUGGACUGCCCUGUAACAUCUUAUAGCUCAGGUGAUGUUAACCAUCAGCCUGCACCUGGUGCUAUUACUAUGUAAGGUCUCAGUUUCAGCUUCUUGCUAGAGCAGCUUGUGAUUCCUACAGGACAGCCUUAACUUCACCUGACCCUGUGCCUCAGUUGAGGCUUGCCACAGAACAGCACAUUAGCCCGAUUCAGAAUUUCAUCCUUCUGACUUUUGACUAUGAAAUCCUGAAUUUGAAAUUCAAGGUGGCUGGGGCUGGUGGGAAUUAUUGUGUGGAACAUCUGGAGAAUGCCAGGUUGACUGACUUAGACCAGGUGUCCUCAAUCUCGACCCUCCAGAUGUUUUGAGACUACAAUUCCCAUGAUCCCUAGCUAGCUAAGGAUCAUGGGAGUUGUAGGCCAAGUGUAACAGAAGGUCCAAGGCCUGCCUUGGACCUUCUGUUACACUUGGUUUUUAGUAUGGUUAUUUUGCACUGGUUUUAGGACAGUUUGUUAUGUUCGAAAUGCAAUGAAAUAGCUAGUUUUAUUGGGUUUUACACCAGCGUUAUGAUUGAUUUGUUGAUAUUGUAUAUAUUGUUGUAAAGUGCUGUGGGAAAUAUGCACUGGAAAGCAGUCUAUAUAAAUUACUUAAUUUUUAUUUAUUUUGAAGAAUGUGAAAUUUUGUCCCAAAAGAUCAGUGCUGGCAUCUCUUUGUUGUUUUGCAUUUGGCAGGGAAUCUCACGAACUGUCACUUGUCAGAUACUGUCAAAUAUUGAAAUCAACUGUCUACCACAGAUUCCAGACUGUUGCUAUAUUUUGGGGUGGGAUUUGAUCACAUACCAGGAAAUUCAGGUUGUGUGCAAUUGAAGUUGCUUUGACACUCUUGUACAACAAACUGACACACACACACACACACACAGAGAGAGAGAGAGAGAGAGAGAGAGAGAUACUUGCCUUGGCCCAACAUCAUCUAACCUCCCUGCAGACAAAUCAGAAUGAAUACUGAAUAAAUAGCUGUCGUCAUCUAAGCUCCCUGCAAACUUUGUGCAAGUGAAUAAGGGUGAAUGCUUAAUAAGCAGGUUGUCUGGAAGUGACCUAAAUUACCAGUUUAUUUUCUUCCUUACCAAGGGGAUGGGUAAAGAUAUAGCUGGGGAAUGAAGCAAGGAGGGGAAAAAUUACAGAAGUGCAGUGAAAACCCUCUGGCUGCAUGAAUCUCUGCCCUGUUUAUGUCAGAAGCUGCACCAAAUUAAGGCUAUAAUCAUUCAUUCCUGUUAUAUUGCCCCAGUUUCAUCAUCUGGCAUUUUCUUCUUAGGUAACCCUACUAAACCUAGCAGGUUAACCCUGUUUUGCAUUAAAACUCUGCUUCUUUGUGAUAACUUCCAUCUCUAUAAGGCUCUCUAGCAACAAAAUCUAAACCUGAACGAUGUUAUUGACCAUCCUAAAGAAAGCAUUUUAUUUAUUUGUUUCACUUAUACUUCACUUUUCCUCUAAGAAACUCAGACCAUGAGGCAAAUCUCCAAGUAAGUUGUUCUCAGAGUAAACCCACUGAUUUUAGUGGUUCUACUCUGAAUAUGGCUAACAUUGAAUCUCACCCAAGGUGGUCUCUGCUCUAAGUGGAUUAUAGAGCCAGAUCUCCUGAGCACAUUUUGGGGAUGGGAUUCACAGGUCAGCAGAGGCAAAUUAGGCCCCUCACUUUUAAAGAACUGGGGUUUGGAUAAGGGCUAGCAAGCUAAAUGGACCAGUGGCCUGGCUCCAAUAUUCGGGCCUGGCAACCUUGGCAGUGAUUUUCUAAAUUAUAAAAGCUAUUGCCUUCCUUUGUCCCUCACCCUUCUUCCCUCAAGACCCUUGUUAUUCUAACAACAGCUAUUUAAAAUGGUUGUUUUUGCGAUCGCUAUUAGCACUUCAGACUUGCAGGUCUUGAGUCCUUGUAUUUGUUUCUGAACCGGUUACUGGUUUGGAAGCUGAAUCAGGACUCAGAUCUUGGAUUGUUCCUCUUUUGUGAUGGAAUAACGCUGCCCACGAAAGCCCACUUUGCUGAGUUCCUGAGGUGGUCUGCAUCUCUCCCUCCUGGAACUAGAUUGCUUCUGCAACGACUGAAAUGGCAAACUUGCAUUUGUCAGCAAUGGCGAGAAGCUAGGGCACUUGGAGAUCAGAUCUCUUUGCUAAGGAGGAACGAUUUUUGAACAGGCACUUUUCCCAUCUGGCAGGAGCAUCCUCCCUUCUUCUUCCUGCCACCCUCCCAGAUCGCAAUUCUCCCCUGCCCUGUUUUGCAUCUCAAGCGCCAUAAUGCAGAAGAAUGCAUCUGAAAGUGACAAGGGAGCCUGUAUGCUGGAACGCCGCCUUCCACGCAAGGAAUAUAUUAUAAAUGGCCUGCAGUGACUCUAAAUGGAUUACGGAGCCCACUUCCAAAGCGCCGAGCUGUCCCGCAAGCUGCUCUUGCGCUAUUGCAUAUGAUGUUACUUUUAUGGAUUACACUGUGUAAUUGCUCAUCUGAUUGAAUUACUUUUAUCAAAGCACUCUGUGCCGAACAAUGCGGCUAGGUCAGGGGAGGCUAAAAAUAGAUUGGGAGAGCAGAGAGUUAAUUAGAUUCUAUGAAUGCGAGAAGAAGGGAGUCAAUCCUACAGCCUUUAAGGCAGGGGUAGGCAACCUAAGGCCCGUGGGCUGGAUGCGGCCCAAUCGCCUUCUCAGUCCGGCCCACGGACGGUCCAGGAAUCAGUGUGUUUUUACAUGAGUAGAAUGUGUGCUUUUAUUUAAAAUGCAUCUCUGGGUUAUUUGUGGGGCAUAGGAUUUCGUUCAUCCCCCCCCCCCCAAAUAUAGUCUGGCCCACCACAUGUUCUGAGGGACAGUGGCCCACGGCUGAAAAAGGUUGCUGACCCCUGCUUUAAGGGGAAGCCCAUGGCUCAGUGGCAGAGCAGAAGACCCUAGGUUCAAUCCCUGCCAUUUCCAGUUAAAAAGGGACCCCUGACCAUUAGGUCCAGUCAUGACCGACUCUGGGGUUGCGGCGCUCAUCUCGCUUUAUUGGCCGAGGGAGCCGGAGUACAGCUUCCGGGUCAUGUGGCCAGCAUGACUAAGCCGCUUCUGGCAAACCAGAGCAGCACACGGAAACGCCGUUUACCUUCCCGCCAGAGUGGUACCUAUUUAUCUACUUGCACUUUGACGUGCUUUCGAACUGCUAGGUGGGCAGGAGCAGGGACCGAGCAACGGGAGCUCACCCCGGCACGGGGAUUCGAACUGCUGACCUUCUGAUCGGCAAGUCCUAGGCUCUGUGGUUUAACCCACAGCGCCACCCGCGUCAUUUCCAGUUAGGGUUGGGAAAAACUUCUGCCUGAAACCCUGGAUAGUUGCUAUAUUGAACUAUCACUUUAAGCUAUAAUGAGCUUGAUGAAUCAAUGGUCCAUCUCAGCAGAAGGCAGCUUCCUAUAUUCCUUUGUUAGUACAGUGGUACCUCAGGUCACAUAUGCUUCAGGUUACAGACGCUUCAGGUUACAGACUCCGCUAACCCAGAAAUAGUACCUUGGGUUAAGAACUUUGCUUCAGGAUGAGAACAGAAAUCGUGCAGCAGCGGUGCAGCGGCAGCAGGAGGCCCCAUUAGCUGAAGUGGUGCUUCAGGUUAAGAACAGUUUCAAGUUAAGAACGGAUCUCUGGAAUGAAUUAAGUAGUUAACCCGAGGUACCACUGAACCUCAUGAAGAUGCCAUAGAAAUAGCCACAGAGCAGAUGGGAGCCUGUACUCUGAAUGAUGUGGUGGUUACACUACGGUUGUCACCUCAUGAAAGAAAUGUUGGUCUCUUCAUCAAUUUUGCUUUAAUCAAAAUCCACACACAUUCAAAUGUCUCAGCCUACAGUUUUGAAGGGAAACCGAAUCUUUCUUGUAAAUGGUUAAAGUUGUUGGGUAUUCUCUCUGUGUGAGAGAGAAUCAUUUGUUUCAGAAACGGAGAAGAACAGAGAAGAAGUUCGAAGAAGCAGCAGAAGGCGGAGAUUGUUUUGUCUAUGCAAGGACGUUUUCUGUGGGAACUGUUCUUUGGAUAUGGUCAGUGUGACAGGAAGUACUGAUAACAAUGUGAUAACUUGUGAGUCUCUUGCUUGUGCCUUGCGGUGAGAGAAGCAGAGUCUUGGACUCUAAGCAAUGCUUUGACCACGGCAGUGGUGAAUGUCGGCAUAUAUUUGGUACCAAUAUGCUUUUAUGCCUGUCAAGUCAGCUUCUACGCUUGACUGAAUCGUUAUGGCGUCCAGGAGUGUUUAUUGCAUACUGUGUGUACCUACAACCUUGAAGACACUCCCAAGGAAGGAGCUGCGUUGAGAUGUAACUCUGCUGAGUAUGGAUACUGGCACACACACACAUAGCAAAAGUGAUGCUGGACCCAAUCCUUCUAAAUCAUCCAUCAGAGGCUGAUGGAUUGAUCCAGCACAGGUUUGUGGCAGCGGAUGCCAUCUUAGACGAGCCCGUUCUUCCUGUGUGAGAGAAUGAAGGCGAGGCAGCAGGUGGGGAUGCCUCUUCUAAAAUGGAGGCUGUCACCGGCAGUUUCUAGAAGUGCUUUUAUGAGGGUGGUUUCUUUCUUCUUUCUUUUACAAACCAGGUUGCCCUAUACAGUGGUACCUUGGGUUAAGAACUUAAUUCGUUCCGGAGAUCCGUUCUUAACCUGAAACUGUUCUUAACCUGAGGUACCACUUUGGCUAAUAGGGCCUCCCGCUGCUGCCGCGCCGCUGCCACACGAUUUCUGUUCUCAUCCUGAAGCAAAAUUAUUAACCUGAGGUACUAUUUCUGGGUUAGCGGAGUCUGUAACCUGAAGCGUCUGUAACCUGAAGCAUCUGUAACCCGAGGUGCCACUGUAUAUGCAUUCCUUUUCUGUGCUGUUAAAUUUACACACAUUACAGUCAUACCUCGUGUUACGUUUGCUUCAUGUUGCAGCUUUUCAGGUUACGAAUGCGGCAAACCUGGAAGUGUUUACUUCUGGGUUCGCCGCACACGCAGAAGUGCUCUAUCGCGCUUCACGCAUGCGCAGUAGCGGCACUCUACUUACGGACUUUUCGGGGUGCAAACGGCACCCCGAAAUGGAUUACGUUCGUAAGUAGAGGCACCACAUAAACAGAACCAGGAGAUGGAAAUGUGCACAAUCCUAAUUGUCAUCAUUACGUAAUUCUCAUUAUUAUAAUUGCAUUUAUAUAAUUGCUUUGAUUUUUCUGUUGUAUAGAUAUUAUGCUAUGGAGUAGCAUUUGUGUUCUGAGUUGCAAACUACCCUUUGAUCUUUUGACAAAGGAGUGCUGAGCCAAUUCUGAUGUGGUUGUGGCAUCUAUCCAGCUGUCAGCACAAUAAGGAUGGUGUCAGCCUUUGCACUGAGCUUCCUUUGCCACUUUGGUUCAUGACCUGAGUGUUACUUAAACUUGAGAAGUGAAGCUAUUACCAGGCUCUGUAAGGUAAGCCAAGGAGACAGUGUGCAUUACCCCCUAAUAUUUAAUGAAGUCUCAGUCCGUUUACAUCCCACACCUGCUAUGUUCUUCUUUGUCGGUUUAACCAUUAUGGCCUCCAUGUCGGCAGGUACCCCAUAGCCCCUCAUUAGGCACAUACAUUUCCACACCUCCUCUCCUGACUUGUAUUGGUCCUCCCCACCCAACUCUCCUGAUAAGCCAGUGUAUCAACCUGCCUGUUAAUUACUAUCAACAGACGAGGCUCUCUUGAUGGUACCUGCUCUGAGUGAGGUGUGCAGUGUGAGGGACCUAUAGAAGAGUCUUUUCAGUGUUGGCCCCACAGCUGUGGAACAAUCUCCCCACUGACAUGGACCUUGUUUCUGUAGUGUAUUUGUUUUGGCACCUCGAAGCAAUAAGAUGAAUUAAAACUGACUCCUCUUGGAAUAAAAAUGGUCCAGGCCCAUAAAUAUGAUUCAAAAGCUUUACUAACACAACUGGUUCCAAAAACAGAUACAAAAAGAAAUCAUGAUACAUCCACCUAAUUAUAUAAUGUCAUGUGCAUGUCCAGCACAGUUUCAUCCUCUUACAAAUUUGAAGUAACUCCUAGCAGACCUAAAAUUAGAGGCCUGUCUCUCCCCACAGCCUCCAUUAGCCUGGAGCUAUUUUCUCUCCAGGAGAGACCUCAUUAUCACAUCCUUUGUUCCCUGUGGCUUCCAGAGGAAAAAAAGACAACUCCCUUCAAAAUGGUGAUUUGAAACUGAAUAACCCUCUCACAUGAUCUAAAGUUAAACACCAUGUGAAAGAGCAGAGAACAUCAACCGUUAAUUGUCAACCAGUCAGGUGCCCAGAGAGCUCUUGUUAGUUUUAGUAUAGCCCAAUUGAAUUUACCAUGGCAAACCUUCAGCAACACUUAUUCAAACACACACAGGGUUAUUUGCCGUUUCAUUGUCAAUUAAACAAUUAUACUUAACAGUGAAGACACACCUCUCUCACCAAUCUUUUAGCAGUGGAAAGGUGUGAUGGGUGAAGUCAGUUUUAGUAUGACGCUGCUACUUUAAUAGUUAUGGAGGUAUUUUACGUGACUCUGUUCUAACAAUUGUAUUAUGCAUUGUGUUUUGUUGCAUUUACUUUACAGUGCUUUGCGGCUCCUGUUGUGAAAAGCAAUGUAAAAUAUAUGAAUAAAUAAAUGUUGUACUUUCCAUCCGCCACAAAUAUCUACAAUUCACUGUCAUAACACAUGUUGUAAAUAAAAAUAUGCCCUUUUCCCUUAUGGGGUAUCCAAGAGCCCAUAUAGAGUCCUUACAUAGGUUCCCUAUUGGUAGGAGAAAAUAACAGAGGCCAACCAGAGAAUAUUGAGAAGCAAAGCAGCUAGUAAGCCUGAUCUUUAUUGAUCUGUUGCAACAGGGUGCUCCCCUCACUCGAAGGAAAGGAGGAGGACCCACAAAAAUGCUGUGCAAGGGCUUAUAAAGACUUUUGAAAUUCCCAUCCUGUAGAUCAAGACCACCCCCAGAAACAUUAUACAUACAUCACAGAAGGGGUGUAACCUAAGACCACCCCUCAGAUACAUCACAGAAAAGGCGGUCUGAAACAGAAUAUUUGCAUGUUGUUUUUCUCCUGUCGCUUUUUUAUUUCCUGUCUGGCAGGUUACUUGAUUGGAUUGCCUGAGGAGCCUGGCCAGUCUUUUGUAAUGAUAAGGCUCACACCCUUAUUCAAACACAGACAUACCCUUAAGACAGGAUAUGUGAAGGAAAAGACAAUGGGGAGGUUUUUCCACUUUGACCAUGCAGAGAAACAUUUGCUCAGUUUAGGAAUCAAAAAUGGCUUCAGGUCAGUCUUCCUGUGCUUGAUCUAUGUACGUGCAGUUAUGAACAUUACCAUAUAUCUAAGACCAUAAAAUUCCUAUCACACACAUCAGUUGAAGUCAUUUGGGUCAGUUUUCCAUAUGAAGAUCACCACCAUCCUUCUUGGACUUAUUAAAUUACAGUAAUUAUUACUGUUUUUGAAUUGGCAUAGGCAAAUUUUAUGCAAAUCUCUGCCAACUUUUUUUCUGCUGACCUGUUAAGUGGGCACCCUGUAUGCAAUCAUACCCAUGUCUACUCAGAAGUAAGAUAGAGUAGAUCAGGCCUCGCUCCCCUGGUACUGGUCCAUGUGCAUAGUAAUGCAGCUGGAAUAACACUGCAAAGAAAUGCUCUGAUGUCAAUUUUUGUUAAAUGUAUGCUUUUUUAAAAAAAGUUAGCUUGUAAGAUAUAUCUUUUCUUCUAUUUCUUAGGCAUAUAAUCAACUCCCUCUCUAUUUAGAGCAUCCAGUUAUAAAAUGCUCUUAUUUUAGUAUUUUAGAUCUCUUUUCCAGAUGUUCUGUUUUAUUGACGCAACUUUCAGCCAUAGAACAGGGCCUUGGAUCCAGAGAAGCUUGUGUACAUGUCAGGGGCUGGUCAGAGGAGAAUACCUCCCCAGCCUGACCCUUCUGGAGAAGAAGAAGACAGCAGUUCAGAAUUACAACAGGGGUUUGAGGGAGGUCACAGCUCAGAGGCAGAAGAGGGAAAAGCUGGGAAAUAAUGGGAGAAGAGGAAUCACUAGGAGUGCAACAGCCGACAGACACAGUGCCUUUAGAAAGAAUUCCAGACUCCCCCUCCCAGAACCUGGAGAGCCUUGAAAAUACAGUGGUACCUCGGGUUAAGUACUUAAUUCGUUCUGGAGGUCCGUUCUUCACCUGAAACUGUUCUUAACCUGAGGUACCACUUUAGCUAAUGGGGCCUCCCACUGCCGCCGCCGCCGUGCGAUUUCUGUUCUCAUCCUGAAGCAAAGUUCUUAACCCAAAGUACUAUUUCUGAGUUAGCGUAAGGUUACCAGAUUUUUUCAAUGAAUCCGGGGACUCUUUUCAGCUUCAAUGGAUUUUGUAUGGGGACUGAUUUGUAAAUCCGGGGACUGUCCCCGGGAAAUGGGGACAUCUGGUAACUUUAGGUUAGCGGAGUCUGUAACCUGAAGCAUCUGUAACCUGAAGUGUCUGUAACCCAAGGUACCACUGUACAUGAAAUGUGCAACAAACACAAUCCUUAAAACCGCAAGAGCCCUUCGGAGUCUGAAAGCGCUGCUACACUUCCCUGCAUGUGCACUGCUUUUCAUCUUAAGAGUUUUAGAGUUGAAAGGGAUCUCUAGCCCAGGCUUCCUCAACCAUGGCCCUCCAGAUGUUUUUGCCAACUGAGAGUCACAGUGAGCUGUCCUGAAGUCCAUUUGCAGGUGCAGUUUGGAUUCCAACCAUACCUGUAAAUGGACAAAGGAAGGCUUGGUGACAGCACCAAUCAGCAGAUCAGCACUGACAGGCAACUCUUUCAGCUGCAACAGGGAGUUUCCCAUGGGGAAUUCCUUAGUGCAGCCAGUCCCAGUGGGGUUCGCUGAUCGGAACAACUUGGGGCUCACUUUAAGCUCCCAGUUGGUCCUUUGUAGCCAAUAUGAUGUCAAGUAUGAUACAGGUGGGUGGGUGGGAGGUUUGGGGGGGUGGAACAGCCUUGUGGGCCCAAAUGAGGGCCAUGCUGGCUUGAUCUUCAGUUUUUAAUUUGGCCAGUGAAUUUCGCCUAGGGGUCUCAAAAGAGGACAAAUCCCAUUUACACUUUGGUUUCCUUGAAAGGCAAGCAGUCUAGUUUUUGACGGGAACACUGUGCCCAUUCGGUUGAGGACUGGAUUUGGAGGUUGAAGCCACUGUAAUGAUCUGACCAAUGACUGGAUUGUGCCCAGAACGAAGUUCUUGAGGAGUCAGCUCAUACACCGGAAAAAGCGCUGUACGAAGGAGAUGACACAAACAUAUCACUGUUUCAACCUUGAAAGGGAUAUAUAUACAAACCACUUUACUUACAUAGCCUUUCCAUAGCAGAAAGCUUGUUACUUUAUAUGGGAAUUUCACCUUCUCCAGUGCAUGGUUUCUAUGUUAUAUAGAUAUGAUGCUAUAUAGUGGCAUUUGUGUUCUGUGUUGCAAACCACCCUGAGGUCUUUUGAGAAAGGGUAGGAUAUAAAUUUAAAAAUAAAUAAGCAAACUGAGUUGGCACUGAAAAUUUGCACAAUGACACCAUAUGCAGGGGGAAAGUGCCCUAUUUUCUGGCAGCCUAGUGGGGUGGAUUUGCAAUUUGCCCUAACAAAAGCAAACUAAGCAAAGGCAAUUGUGCUUUCUGAGGAUGGCAGUGAGAAAAUAUCGGAACUAGUCAUUGUCCUGCGGCAAGGUCACUGCCAAGACUAUUAAAUGUGCAUCUUAGAACAGAAUGCGGCUUAGCAGCUUUACGGCUCAGAUGCAAGGUCCUCAUCUGAUGUAGGUCAGCUCUUCCCAAAGGUAGCAUAUAUGUCGCUGUAUGCCUCUCUGCUUCGUAGCUGUUGUUUUUUAAAAAAAUCUCAGAGCUGGAAUAGCUGGAGAUGCUGAUUUAGUUCCAGAAAAACGCAAGGUUACUUCUGGUGGUAUAUGGAGGCUUUUCAGAUUUUAACUUCUAGCGGCAGCCCCGUGGAAAGUCUUCCCCCAAAGAUUCAAGGCCUUCUGGAACAGGACCUCAUGUGGUAAAACUGGCCAACAGCACUUCGCACAUGCAUUGUCAGGCGACAGUAAGCAACUCCCACGGCCGGGUGCCGGGAACGUACAAUACAAGGAAAAGUUCUUUCCAUCUGCUCUUCAUUCAAUAUUUACAGAGAGAGGCUUGGAACUCAGCCUCUUGGGAUAACGGCGUUGUCCUGGGUGACUCUCCAGCCUCCUUUUCUCCCACUGCUUCAUUUGUCCUUUGUCAUCAUCUCCCCUACAGGUGACACUGAGGGCCCUCGGCUUCUGAGCUCCAUGCUCUACUACAGUGGUACCUCGGGUUACAUAUGCUUCAGGUUACAGACUCCGCUAACCCAGAAAUGGUACCUCAUGUUAAGAACUUUGCUUCAGGAUGAGAACAGAAAUUGUGCUCUGGCGGCGCGGCAGCAGCGGGAGGCCCCAUUAGCUAAAGUGGUGCUUCAGGUGAAGAAUAGACCUCCAGAACGAAUUAAAUUCUUAACCUGAGGUACCACUGUAUAAUUAUAACCUGUUUCCCAUUUCUGACCUGCUAACGGCAUGCUUGGAGAUCUCCUUUUGGAUUUCUCUUCAGAGCUUUUAAAAUGAAGAUUGAAAUUGCAGUGCCACCUUGUGGAAAGCAGUGCAAGGCAAGUGGUCCUCGCUGCAGCGAAAUUGCUUUGCUUCCUUGGUCCUUGUGUUAACUCCUAAACUUUGCCCCCCCUCCCCAAUCCCUGGCCAUUAGCUAUGCUGGCCAGGGUUGAUGGGAGCUGGAGUCCAGCAACUACCAGCUAGGGAACUACAGGUUUCCAUUUCUGCUCUAAACACUUGUAAAGAUGGUGCAGUUUUUGGAGACUUGAUAACACAAAGGUAAUUAUUUUGCUCGAAGUGGAGAAUAUAGACAUUUGCUUUCCAAGUUACACUACUGGGAAAACCCCAUUUUCUGUUACUUGCCCUAGAUCGGUGGUUCUCAAACUGUUUUCUCUGGGCCACACUUUCAGAAUAACAAUUUGCUCACACCAUUUCUUGUUUUGUUUUAUUGGUGAGAAAUACAUUGGAAAACAAAAAGAAACAACUUUUGCUAGUGCCUGAAUUGUAACACAGAACAUAGAAUAUGAUCAUGGGUCAUGAAGGCAGUAUAAAACAAUGUCGCUAUAUAAGAACACGAAUCAUUACCCAAAUAUAAUUAUAAACGAGUCUCUUACAUAUGUACCUUAAGUAUGCAUGCAGACUCAGUGAGAGGUGUGAGCUUGCUUUUGCUGGGUAAUCUCAUUUAUAUGGGGUCUAAUUUGAGACAGACAAACUCUCAUCUCCUCAUCAACAGAAUCUUUUCUGAGAAAUUCAUUUUUGUCAGACUUGACAAUCCUUGAUCACAACAAUACAAUGGUACCUCAGGUUACAGAUGCUUCAGGUUACAGACACUUCAGGUUACAGACACUGCUAACCUAAGGUUACCAGAUGUCCCCGUUUCCCGGGGACAGUCCCUGGAUUUACAAAUCAGUCCCCAUACAAAAUCCAUUUAAGUUGAAAAGUGUCCCCGGAUUCAUUGGGAAAAAAUCUGGUAACCUUAUGUUAACCCAGAAAUAGUACCUCAGGUUAAGAACUUUGCUUCAGGAUGAGAACAGAAAUUGUGUGACGGCUGCAGUGGGAGGCCCCAUUAGCUAAGUGGUACCUCAGGUUAAGAACAGUUGCAGGUUAAGAACGGACCUCCAGAACGAAUUAAGUUCCUAAACCGAGGUACCACUGUAUGUCAUAGAGAACUUCAGAAGAACAGUAAAUGCUCUUGAAUAUCUAUCCAUAUUCAGCAGGUACCGUAUUUUUCGCUCUAUAAGACGCACCAGACCACAAUACGCACCUAGUUUUUGGAGGAGGAAAACAAGAAAAAAAAUAAUCUGAAUCUCAGAAGCCAGAACAGCAAGAGGGAUCGCUGCGCAGUGAAAGCAACAAUCCCUCUUGCUGUUCUGGCUUCUGGGAUAGCUGUGCAGCCUGCAUUCGCUCCAUAAGACGCGCACACAUCUCCCCUUACUUUUUAGGAGGGAAAAAGUGAGUCUUAUAGAGCAAAAAAUACGGUAUAUAAAUGAAAUAAUUUGAUACUAUACCUGGGGUCAGCAACCUUUUUCAGCCGUGGGCCGGUCCACCGUCCCUCAGACCUUGUGGUGGGCCGGACUAUAUUUUUUGGGGGGUGAAAUGAACAAAUCCCUAUGCCCCACAAAUAACUAAGAGAUGCACUUUAAAUAAAAGCACAUAUUCUACGCAUGUAAAAAUACCAGGCAGGCCCCCCAAAAUAACCCAGAGAUGCAUUUUAAAUAAAAGGACACAUUCUACUCAUGUAAAAACACGCUGAUUCCCGGACCGUCUGCGGGCUGGAUUUAGAAGGCGAUUGGGCCGGAUCUGGCCCCCAGGCCUUAGGUUGCCUACCCCUGUACUAUACUAUACCAUACCAUACAAUACAAUACUGAAAUGUUUAAAUGUUGCUUUGAUUGUCCUUGAAUUUUCCUGCCACACCAAUGUGGCAUGCCUGUUCAAAAAUUGUUUUGAUGUUAGGGGUGGGGGAGAAAUUUGAUUCAUUUUGCAUCUAAAAGCAAACCUAUCUAAUUCACAUUUUCUGAAACAAUACUAGAACUGAAACAAAGCCAUGCUGGGCAGUCCUCUGAAUUUUGCAGUGCAGUUCUCCAGGCAAGUAAUGUGUGCAAAAAUGCACACAGGAAGGAGGGUAAAGUGUGAGGUGGGGGCGGGGGAGCAUACAAACACGGAUUAUAUUAAGGUAAAUUGGAUUUCAAAAACAUUUGUGUUAGGCAAUUUGCAUACAAAUGUGUUUAUAUUACGAGAAAUUUGCACUCAAAUGCUGAUGAGUUUCCAAUAAUAACAACCUGAAAACUGGUGUGGGAAUGACGUGAAGCUAAGAUUGGAAAAAAAGAGAAACUGAGAAAAACUGAAACGAACAGGUUUCCCUAUCCCUAGUUGAUAGUAAAUUUUGUGUAAAAAGGAAAAGGAAUUAAUCUAUUUGGGUCGGAAUAUUGGGGAAAUAUCGCUUAACGGAAAGUAGAUCAGUUGGGUGUCGUUCCAGAGUGAGUAUUUUGAAUAAUUUCUUUUGUGUAACUGACAGAAAAUCAGAAGUCCUUUUUAUUUUUCUUCUCUUUUCUUCUACUUUUCUGAUUUGCCUUUGGUGCUUUCUCUUUCUCUCUUUCUGUAUAUCAGGCUUCUGUUAAAAGCACAGGAGCAGAGGCAGCUAAAGAAGAAAGAAAGGUGGCAAUGGCAGGCUAAUCAGAGUGCAGCCAUGUGCCACCAAGCGCAUAGCCUGGUGCCAUGGAAGAGUUAGCACCCGUGCUUUAUUGAGGAACAUCUACAUCUCUUAUGCCUUUGCUUUUCCAUCACCUAUAAUUCUCUAAAGAGAACCGCAGGCUGGUGCAUGGCCUGUGGUUUGAGCGAAGGUGAAUAGAGAGAAAUCAAGCAUUUCAUAGAUUAGGUGGUACAGUUUCAAAGCUGUUUAGGGAGCUGCUGUGGAUUUUACAAGGAGGUUGCCCCUGUUCCUCUGGAACUUUCUGAUUUUUUGACAACUUCCCUAUAGCAACAAAGGGCUCACCCACACUUCCACUUGUCCCACGCUUUCUAGUUUUUCUUUUGUCCCACCACUUACCCCUGGAAAACCCUCCGUUCACCUCUGAAUCAUAACAAACGUCAGUCGGGUUUUCCGUGGAUUGAUGUUUGUUCUGAUUCAGCAGCAAAAGGCGUGUUUCCCCACAGAAAGCAGCAGGGCAGGAGAAAAACCUCACCGACCCACGCCUAGAAAACACAGGACACGUGGAAGAAAACAUGGGACAAACAGAAUUGUGGAUGAGUCUAAGGCAGGGGUCGGCAAGGUUUACCUCGCCUGGGCCAGUUCACUCCAGCAGAGAUCCCUCUGUGGGCCAGAGUGCACGCAUGUGUGAAUGCGCAUGACUGUGAUAUGUGGCAUCUGUGUCUGCGCAGACACAAUUUCCAGAGCCGCGGAAGCGAGUCCCCAUGCUGCACCGGCUUAGCGCAGCGCGCAGGGACUCACAAGCGGGCAGCUCAGUUGGGGGGGGCGGCUCGUGGGCCGGUUAAAUGACCCCUGUGGGCUGCUUGUGGCCCAUGGGCCUUAGGUUGCUGACCCCUGGUCUGAGGUAAGGUUACCAGACGUCCCUGUUUCCAGGGGAGAGUCCCCAGAUUUACAAAUCAGUCCCCUGACAAAAUCCAGUGAAUUUGACUGAAGUUGAAAAGUAUCCCCAGAUUCAUUGAAAAAAAAUCUGGUAACCUUAGUCUAAGGAAUAUCCUGCUUUACAGCAAAGCGAUAUGAAAACUGGCAGGAAGGUUGCCACAUCUUAUAUGCCCAGAAGUGCAAAACACAAACCCCAAACACAAAGUGCUGUGAAUCAGAUUUCCUAAAGUUAUUCAUGUGUUAACGCUCCACUUGGAGGGCUAAUGUACGGUGGGGAGAGUGGGACUGUGUUUCCUGGCCCCACCCCUGAUGCCAAGUGUCCCUCUACCCACACCCCAAUUUCCAUACGCCCUCCCUGCUCCACCGUGUGACCGCCAUGAUUGGCAAAAGCACGUAGGGCAGGUUGGCUCUAUUCAUUAAGUUUCCUCCACAUGCUCUGGAGACCCUGCCAUGCCUCAGCCGAAGGAUUGCUCAUCAGGGGACAACCUGUAGCCCCUGCUACAUAGUGAAGCCACAGACACAAGUUGAUCUGGCGAUAAGGAUGAGUUGGGACUCUCGGACAAGCUUGCCAGGCAGUUGUUGGUGCAGCAGGAGAGUUCAACAUGGGCCCUGAGCCAGUGUGAGCAACAGCACCUUAAAUGGCAGGUGGAAACCUGCCCCAUGAGGAGAAGGUCAAGACUUUAAGGAAUGACUCAUAGUUGAAAGGAAUCCUAAGGGAAUCUCAACUAAAGCAUCCAAGGCAGAUGGCCAUCCAACCUCUGCUUAAAUUCCUUGAGAGUCAAGGUCCUCCUCGUGGGUAAGGUCCUCCUUUUUGACAAUUUUGUUGUUGUUGUUUAGUCAUUUAGUCGUGUCUGACUCUUCGUGACCCCAUGGACCAGAGCAUGCCAGGCACUCCUGUCUUCCACUGUCUCCCACAGUUUGGUCAAACUCAUGCUGGUAGCUUCGUGAACACUGUCCAACCAUCUCGUCCUCUGUUGUCCCCUUCUCCUUGUGCCCUCCAUCUUUCCCAACAUCAGAGUCUUUUCCAGGGAGUCUUCUCUUCUCAUGAGGUGGCCAAAGUCUUGGAGCCUCAGCUUCAGGACCUGUCCUUCCAGUGAGCACUCAGGACUGAUUUCCUUAAGAAUGGAUCCGUUUGAUCUUCUUGCAGUCCAUAGCUGAUGGAAUUCAGGUGGACCCUGGGUGGGGUUCCAAACUUUUUUUUUUUAGCUCUGUCAAGCACACAUUUUCACAGCUGAGGCCAAUUUCUAAUGAGCAGGCUCUGACUCUGACCUUGAGCACCCAAGAGAACACAGGUAUUGGUUCUUGUGAUCUCAUCCCUGCUUGAAGAGAAAGAAUAUUUUCUCAGAGGCCUAACUUUUGUGCCUGAGUUGGGAAACUAUUUUCUAGCACACACAAAAACCACUUUUCUUUCAAAUAAGAUUUUGUUAAAGCUUUUUCAUAAUACAGUAAGAUAAAAGAAACUAAUAUAAACAAAAAUAAAAACGGAGAGAGAGAGAGAGAGAUAAAAGAAAAAACAGGGUCCUCUCUCAACAUAACUUGUCUCACACAGGAAGUGGUGGAUCCAACUCUCACCUGUGAAUUUUCCUUUCUUUUCCCAGUCUCUCACCUUGGGAGGUCUUUCCUUUGUGUGUGUGUGUGUGUGUGUGUGUGUGUGUGUAAUACUUGCACCCCUAAAACGGCCCAGAGCAGAGGACACCAAAAGAAAAAAAGGGGGGCAGAAAUUAAAGAGAAAAGAAGAAAAAUAAAAAGGAUUUUCUGUCUGUCAGUUACUUAAAAGAAAUUGCUCCAAAUAUUCACUCUAGAAUUACAUCCAACAGAUCUACUUUUUGUUAGGCAAUAUUUUCCCAGUCUUCUGACCCAAAUGUCUCAGAUGAAAUCAUUUUUCUUUUCACGCAAAAAGUCCAAAAGGGUUUCUCUAAUUCUUGUCAUUAAUAAAUGCCACCAAUGGUUUCUCUCUAGCUUUCUUGACAAGUGUCAGGCUGAAAGAGUUUCUGGAACAAUGCAUUAAAAAAAUUAUAAUAUGCCUUCUGCCUCAUCCUCUGCUUGCCUGGAAUUUAUGUGCCUUUUUAUCGGGGUCCAUAGCUUCCCAUUAGAUUCUCCAAGGUGUUUGCGACCCAAAAAAGGUUGAAACACCCACUUGUCCUAAUCCAACAGGGACAGCUUUUCUACCCUGACUUUUCUUCAUGGUUUUUCAGAGCUGAAGUGUCAAGAUUUCAGCUUACUAUUCCAAGUAUCUAUCGGCUGAAAAUUCAAAAUGUUUGCCAUUUUUGGUGAGGUAUUUACAUUUCCGUGUGCUUUGACAGGAACCUCUUUCAACAAAGAAAUAAAAGUUCACACUUCAUUGCGGAUUCCAAGAACUGGCAGAAUACUGAUGGUUGCGGGUUGGGGUUUGUGUCAGGUGUCAAGUGCUGUGAGGUUGGCGACGUGUUUCAGUCCAUAAUAAUAAGGUUCUGAAAAAGAGCAGGGGAACUGCAAAAACUGUGUGAAAAGAGCGGGAAAAUGACUAGCAAUCCCAGGAUCCUUUGCAACUACAGUCCCACAGCCUAGAACUUUGGAGUACCAGCAUGCCGGUCUGGUAAGUGCUGCUGGUUUUUAAAAAGGGUUUUCCUGGAUUUUCCAGAGGGUAUUUGCAGGCUUUUUAUAUGGUUUUCCCCAUUAUGCAUGACUUCCCAUGUAUGCACGGUAACCUCCAAAUAUGCGGGGAGAUGCCUGUAUUGAUAAUAAUAAUAAUAAUAAUAAUAAUAAUAAUAAUAAUAAUUUAUUUAUACCCCACCCAUCUGGCUGGGCGUUCCCAGCCACUCUGGGCGGCUUCCAACAAAAUAUUAAAUACAGUAAUGCAUCAAACAUUAAAAGCUUCCCUAAACAGGGCUGCCUUCAGAUGUCUUCUAAACGUCAGGUAGUUGUUUUUCUCUUUGACAUCUGGUGGGAGGGCGUUCCACAGGGCAGGUGCCACUACCAAGAAGGCCCUCUGCUUGGUUCCCUGUAACCUGGCUUCCCGCAGUGAGGGAACUGCCAGAUGGCCCUCGGCACUGGACCUCAGUGUCUGGGCAGAAUGAUGGGGGUGGAGACGCUCCUUCAGGUAUACUGGACCGAGGCAGAGGCAAAACAAGGCAGAGACCCAGUUAUCCAACUAGAAAAGCCUAUUGGAACAAAAAUGUCUUCAGUUGGUUCUGGGGAAAAUGUGGAUAUUGUAGAGGGGCUUGGAAGGGUAGAAUUGAUCCCUGGACCUGGGGUUCUGUGUCCCUGCCUUAACAGGGUUGCUGUAGGGGUACAGCUGCAAUAAUAUAUGUGAAGUUUUCGAAAGCACAAUAUAAAUGUCAAAUAUUAUUUCACCCUGAAGAGCGGCUUUCCCCCUCCCCUCGAUGCACCAAGCAACCACCAUCUAAACUUUAGGAAGGCCAAUCGGUAUUCGGAAUUGUGGGAUCAGCUGGCAACUCAUUUCUCCACCUAGGCUAUUUGCAUGGCAAUGAGAUACUCGACAAACAGACAAAAGUAUGUAUAACUCAACGGUAGCUAUGAACGAGGGGCUACCUUUAAAGGAGGAGUGAGAGGAGGAGGAGGAGGGAGGGAGGAAAGAUACCAUCUCAGCAAUAUUGGUACUUUUGAUAAACUUGUUUUAUUUAAUUCCACAGUCUGAACAUAUGUUCUAUCAGCCCUGUGCGAGCGUCGAAAUUGCAUUUUUCAUAGCGAUGCUAAGGGGUGCGUGAUUAAUGCAGGAUGUGGGAGGUGUGCUCACAAAUCCUGUUAUCAGAUAAUGGGAUUAGCACGCAUACCUCCCGAGCGCUGCUGCCGCUUUGAAAAAUUUAUUUCCGAAUCUACAUAUUCAGCUACACAGAACCAGCCACAUUAUGGGCAUAACAAAUAAAAGUGCUGGGGAUGCAGUUUGAAGAGCCUCUAUCGUGAUUACGUUUGCCGCCGCGGCAGCAGCAGCAAUGAAAGACUAAAAUCGGAGGCUAGACACAGCACUGUCUCUCUUUCUCUCUCUUUUAGGGCUGCUUCACGUUAUUGCUAACGCAGAAGACAAGUUUGCCAAUUGCCUGCGAUACCUUGGCCUGCGAAUACCAUAGGGUUGGAAGGGGCGGGUGGGGCGGAAUGUGCAUCCGAACUCCAAAAACAAACAGCAGACGCACACCAGAGAAUUCAGAGCAGGGCAUCGCUGCCUGUUUUGGUCAUGGCUCAGUAGCACAGAGUUCUCAGCCUCCUUCAUAUUCCUCCAAGAAGCUUGGGGGGUUUGUGCAUCAUUCUCCUCCUCGCCACUUUGUGCUCAAAAUAAAGUAGGAUAGGCACAGUGACAGACACAAAGUCACCCAGGCCACGUUCGCACCGUACAUUUGAAGUUCUGUGAUACCACUUUAAACAGUUGCGGCUUCCCUCAAAGAAUUCUGGGAGCUGUAGUUUUUUAAGGGUGCGGAGCUACAGUUUGCAGUGUGGUUUAAGUAGGAAGGCAGGGUGUGGAAGGGUUGCCAGAAAGUAAGGUGAAGCAGCACCAUCCAAAGGUUGAGGCUGCAAUCCUAUAUACCAGUGGUUCCCAAUUAGCUAAGUGCUGUAAAGGUAAAGGGACCCCUGACCAUUAGGUCCAGUCAUGGCCGACUCUGGGAUUGCAGUGCUCAUCUUGCUUUACUGGCCAAGGGAGCUGGCGUACAGCUUCCGGGUCAUGUGGCCAGCAUGACUAAGCCGCUUCUGGCGAACCAGAGCAGCGCAUGGAAACGCCGUUUACCUUCCCGCCGGAACGGUACCUAUUUAUCUACUUGCACUUUGACGUGCUUUCGAACUGCUAGGUUGGCAGGAGCAGGGACCGAGCAACGGGAGCUCACCCUGUCUCAGGGAUUCGAACUGUGACCUUCUGAUCGGCAAGUCCUAGGCUCUGUGGUUUAACCCACAGCGCCACCCGCGUCCCACCUAAGUGCUGUAGACCCCUGUUUUUCAAAAGCCAAGCCAGAGACCCUCUACUUUCGAAACAAGAGGAAGAUAUAUUUGUGGUAGUUUUUGCUGUGUGCCACGGACCCCUGGGUGGACUCCCCAAGGGGUCCAUGGACCACCAAUUGUGGGCCAUAGCUAUAUUCUUUUGCAAGCCACCUCGAUUUCCGAGCUGUAUGAGCUUCCAGGGGUUUCAGGUGCUUAUGCAGGGUUCAGUUUCCUUGCAAGUAGGGACAGCAGUGACCGUGAUGCCUUUAUGAUACAGCAUACAGGUGGUGACCAUUUUAGGCGUGUCAAAUUGUGUAAUGCUGCAGUGUGAUAACUGCCAAGAAAACUUUUUUGUUUUGUUUGAAUCUGUAUAGCUAAGGGAGCUUCCAGGCUAUUGCAUACCCCACAACUGUCCUGUUUUAAGCGGGACACUCCCAAUCACAGAAGUCCAUCCCAGCUUCUGUUUGGAUCCCAGAAUGUCGCAUUUAAGACAGGCACCCUGGUGUGAUCCAGGUGAUGAGCGCCAGGGUGCCUUCCAGGAUCGCUUUGGCAACUGUGAAAGGGUCACGCCAAAGCACCUCUGGGAGGCUGCAGCCUCGGUGGGGGGAAAGGUGUAGGGAGGGCAGUGAGAGAGAGAGCAGGCAAGGGAGGAGAUGGGUGGGUAGGGGGCAGUGGUGAGUGUGAGCAGGCGAAUGGCAGUAGGAUGGUGUGUGUGUGUCCCGAUUUGCCCCCACUAAAUGUUGGGAUUUUGGGGGUGGGAUUCAAUCACAUCCUGGAAAAUUCAGGCUGCACAAUUAAACCUGAUGUGGAGCUCUUGUGCAACAAACCAAAAUACUGGUCUGUUUGCAGGGAAAAUGCACCAGAAAGUGCAGGAUAAAUUGAUGCUAUGUUGUCUAAGCUCUCCAGAAUUAAAUCAGAUUGUAAAUAGCCAGUGUCACCAUUUCUCUCUGCAGACAAGCCAGAAUGAGUGCUUCAUAUAGAGCAGGGGUCAGCAAACUUUUUCAGCAGGGGGCCGGUCCACUGUUCCUCAGACCUUGUGGGGGGGCCGGACUAUAUUUUGAAAAAGAAAUAUGAACGAAUUCCUAUGCCCCACAAAUAACCCGGAGGAUGCAUUUUAAAUAAAAGCACACAUUCUACUCAUGCAAAAACACGCUGAUUCCCAGAUCGUCCGUGGGCUGGAUUUAGAAGGUGAUUGGGCCGGAUCCAGCCCCCAGGCCUUAAUUUGCCUACCCAUAAUAUAGAGGCUGUAUGGAAGUCACCUCACCAACUGGGCCUUGAGAAGGAGAUGGCCUCUAUAAUUUUUGCUACCGUAGCUUUUCUUUUUGGCCAACUUCCAUAGGCUAAAGAUGUACUGAAUAUCCACCUCCACUAAGAGGAGCCCUAGGCCUGGAACUCAACCUUCUCUUCGUCCUUUUAAAUAGAAGACAGUAGGGCAGAUGGAAGUGGAGGAAGCACUUUUUUAAUUUUCUGACUGCAGCAUAAAUAGAAUUAAUGAGUUGCUUGUGAGUGCAAGUGAUUUUGCAUGCUUUUUUUUUUUUUUUUUUACAGGGGCUUGCGGUGUGGCAACGAAGAGUGCCUGGGUGCUUAAAGGCAGAGGAAAGAUAUAGAAGCAAAUGCAAUUUUGAAUCUUACUAGCAAAUGUAAUUGGACAUCUUCCUAGCUUUGGUACUCAGCAAAGCCUGAUUUCAGAAAGGUUCUACUGUACUCAGUCUUAGAUGAAAGGAAAGGCAGACAGGCCUGAACUAUCGAAAAUAUUAUCUGCAAACGGAAUGUAGACUUCCAGACAAUAGAUUUCACCAAGAACUUGUUGACAUGAGAAAAUAUUUGGUCUGCAAUUUAUUUUGAAAGUUGUUCUUAGUAACAGGGUAGAAAUAGCUAAUGGAAAGUACAAACGAGCCUGAGCUUAUAAACUUUGGUAUACCUCCGCAUUGUAAUUAGUUGUCUGAUAAAACUGAAUAAUGUGCGCCUUAGAGCAGGUGGAAAAGCACUCUAGCCAGUUCUGGGAUUCCAAACAUUUUGUCUCUCCCCGUAUAACUGAAAUGUCCCACCCAUUGAGACUGAGAUCAGGAUGACAGAAGCUCUGCAAAGGGAAAUGGGAGGGAUUCACCAGCAAAAUUUUCUGCUCUGUUACCAUCCUUUUCUGCCUUUCCUCCCCAAACUUCACCCCUGUUGCCGUCUUCCUGAUUGCUCCCAAGUUCAGACCUCAUGCCUAUUGUAGAUAUUAAUAUUGUGCAGUUUCAAGCAACUGGAAUCAAAAGAACUGACUCCUCCUUCUGGAAUAAAUCAUUGUCCAGUCCCAUAAAAAUUAUUCAAACUUUUACUUGCAGAACUCUUCAAAAACAUAACAUAAGCAUCAUAGAUGCAUCCAAAAUAUCCCUACAAUGUCUUCUGCUGUCCAGCAGAGGCUCCGCAUCUUAGAAAAUAUGAAAUAAUUCAAACAGACCUAAAGAAGCAGAGGCCUGUCUCUCCCCACAGCAUCCAUUUUCCCUUGAUCUGUUUUCUCUCACACUCAUAGAGGGUCAUUUACAUGUCCUUACUUCCACAGAGUUUGGGACAAAAUACUUAAAGGCAACUCCCUGCAAAAUGGAUACUUGCAACUCAAUACCUUUGUCACUUGAUCUAAGGUCACAACACUCACCUGUUAGCCAGCAGAAAACAACAGUUAAUUAUCAACUCAGCAAGAGCUCAGAGUCCACUUAGAAAGCUACUGUGGAAAAACCAACACACAUUUAGCCAUUUUCCAUUUUAAACCUUCAUUAAUAUACAGGCAUUAUUAUUUCAGUGUCAAUUAAAUCAACUAAUACUUAACAAUGCCCAGCACAGAUUUAUUUAAGAGCCAGUUUACAAAGUCAUAGGUCCAAGUACAUUGAUAAACAAGUAACUUGGACCAGUCACUGCCUCUCAACCUAGCCUACUUCCCAGGGUUAUUGUCCAUAUAAAUUGGAGGGGUGGGGAACAAAGUACACCUCCUUGUGCUCCUUGGAGGAAAGGCAGGAUAACUUAACUGUUAAGUUAGCGAAAAUGUAUAAAGUCAGUAAUAAAUGUUGGAAAUGUAAAGAAAAAGAGGGAACAUUUUAUCACAUGUGGUGGGAAUGUAAAAGGUGAAAUGCUUCUGGGAGAUGAUAUAUAAUGAGUUGAAAAAAAUGUUGAAAUAUACAUUUAUAAAGAAACCAGAAGCAUUUCUAUUGGGCAUUGUGGGGAGUGAUAUAAAUAGAAAGGAAUGUAAGCUCUUUUUAUAUGCAAUAACAGCAGCAAGAAUAUUAUAGGCCCCAAAAUAAAGUUAAUGGACUAUGCAGAAUUAGAUAAACUAACAGGAAGGAUUCAAAACCGGCGAGACCAGAAAUUCACGGAAGACUGGAGUAAAUUUACGGACUAUUUGAAAAGUAAUUGUGAAGAACAGAUGAUGUUUGUAGGUUUGCAAGAAGUUUUGUGAGGAGUAUUAUUAGAAAUAUUGUAAAAAUGGACAAGGGGGAGGAUGAUUUGUUAAGAGAUGUAAAGGCAUUAUAAAGUUAAGAAAUGCAUAAGAAGUGGUUAAAAUGGUGGAUCAUCAGAGGUGCUGAUGGAAGUCCAAAAAGAUUGUAUAAGUGAUAAGUUUUGUGGUACAUUUUAUAAUUUAUAUGUUAACAUUAAUAAAAAAUAUUAUUUAAAAAAAGGAGGAAAGGCGGGAUAAAAAAUGAUGAAUAACGUUCAGAUUCAAACUGAGUCAUUGUGUGACCGCCAUUUUCCCAUCCCCAAAACCAGGAAUUAAGUCAUGUAUAUAGAAGACAUUUCUCUAAGCUGCGCACUGCAUAUCCUUUGUGAUAGCUUUCCCACUAGCUCAGAUUAUCUGUACAUUAUUGAAGGCCCUCUGUGUCGCUAGAUGGCCACUAGAGGGCAGGGUUGAAUUUGGAUAAGGAAAGAAAGAAAUAAGACUGUAGAAAGAACGAGUAUUGAGUACUGUAUUAGAGAAUCCCGCUUGACCAGGAAGAUAGAAGGAAAAGCUCUAAUUGAUUUUCAACAGGUAAAAUCUCUAGGAAGUAGCUGUCUGUGAUAAAAGGCAGGUAGAACCUGUGGCUCUCUGUGUUUUUGGCAUAUCCAGUGAAGUUCUGGAUCGCAGAUCUAUUGCUGGGUGAGCCAUCAAUUAUGAUCUGGGCUAUAGCACCAUUAGAUAUAACAGAGGCAGAGCUUCAUUCUGGUUUACAAUGUGGUGCAUGUUGUGAACAAAGAGGAGGCAGUCUUGAUUCCAGCUGAAAUUAACUUUAUGGGCAAAUUUCUAUUUUUCCACAUAGAAAUCCAGUUUUUAAAAUUCAGAAUCUCAACUGCUCAGAUACUGAAAUUUAAAUUCGGAAUUCUGAGUACAUUAAUGGAUGUAUUUGUGUGGAUGCAUAGAUGGCCAUAUUUCAGUGGCAAAUGGCAUAUGCUUUCAGGUGCUCAAUUUUGAUUCGUCUGACCAUGUGAAACCACAAUUUCAAAAGGGGGGGGGCAAGGGAGCCUAGGCUGCAAUCCUAAACACAUUUUCCCAGGAUUAAAACCCAGCAAAUUCAAUGGGUCUUGUUUCCAAGUAAACAUGAAAUUGUGUCCAUUGAUGUCAAUAGCUCUACUCUGAGUAUGGCUGCUACCACCCAUAAUUUAUGAAACAAAAAAUAAUAUGAUAAAUAUUAGUUCCCCUAAUAAUUGCUUUUCCAUUGUAAUUAAUUAUUAAUUACAUUGUAAUUAAUUAAUUAAUUAUUAAUUCCCCUAAUAAUUGCUCUUCCAUUGUAAACUUUAUAUUUGACUCAUUUAGUAAUGUUUUAUGUUGAUAUCUUUAAUAUAAUAUUUUAUUUCCCUGUUAAUUAUGUUGCUUUCUAUUUGACCUCCUUCUACAAUGUUUUAUUUUGGAUCAUUUUAUUUGAUGUUUUAAUGCAGGCUGUAAAGCGUUUUGAGAGUCCCCCCUCCCCUUAAAAAUAUGAAGCAGUAUAAAAAUGAAAUGAAUAAAUGAAAAAUGAAUGCAAUGUGCUCAAAACAUACUAACUGUAUUUACACAAAUAAGUAAAUAGUAAUUCAGUAAUUAGGAUGGGGAUUCUUAAAGGGUGCAUCCAUAUCACAGUUUAUUGUGAAUUCAGUUCUGCUCAUGCCUGCAUGAAUGCUGGUGGUUUGAUCCCACCCAGGGACAGCUGUGGGCAAGAUUUCUGAAUUGCAGGGGGUUGGACUGGAUGACCUUUGGGUUGCUUCCAUCUCUACAAUUCUAUGAGUCUGUGUUUUUCCUCAGACUCUAUGCAACAUCCUCAUCAAAAUUCCAUUCCGUAUCGCUCCUCCCUAGUUUAACUCAGAUUUACUGCUUCGACUUUUUCUUUUCUUUUUUUACUUACUGGAUUUUCCGCAGAAGCUCUAAAUCCAGAUUAAAAUGGGGAAAUGAUACGGGCAUUUGGUUGAGGACAACAAUGUGUGGAUGCUCCAUAAACCUUGAAUGCAGGCAGCACCAAGUCUGUAAUAAACUGCCUUCCGGAAGUGCCCCAAAACUGCAGGGCGGAAGGACUAUUUUCUACCCUACCCAGAAAAAUACUCUAAUCAUAGCCCCAAAAGUCUAGACGAACGAGUCUUUGCUUGGUGCUGAAAUGACAAAAAGUGUCAUUGUGGCUUCUGUAAUUUCCACGGCGGAAUUUCUUCCUCGGUGAAAGCUGUUAAAUUUCACCACCCAUUUUUCCCCCAGCCGCGGAAGGAGCUUCAGGGACCACAUACAACAGUGUGGCCUUGCUGUGUGUAAUUGCCUAUAAUUGCACCAAAGGCACUGAACAUUACAGUCUCGGAAACUCUGGCGUAUCUGUUGUUAUUGACACAUAUUGAUCGCAUGGGCAGGAGCCCCGCAGGCUGCUGGGAGGGGGGACGGUCUCUUAACUCUGCUCUGUUGCCUACACACCUCACACACCUCAGGCCUACUUUGACAAUUUGCAGAGACCGCGGCAAGCCACAUACGCUGCUCCCCGGGGAUUUUCGUCUUUUGCGCAGCAGUUGCAAAUACUUUACAGUGUUGCACAGUCUCCAUUUUCCCCAAACAGUGAGAAAUUUUCAGCGGCAGGGUUACUCAGGUUUCCUUUCCUGUGAAUAUAAGAGAGAGAAAGAGUGCACAAGGGACAUGGAGUUUUUGUAGAAUUUAUUUAUUCACAACUAUAAACAAGCUGGACCAUAAAGAAGGCUGAUCACCGAAGAAUUGAUGCUUUUGAAUUAUGGUGCUGGAGGAGACUCUUGAGAGUCCCAUGGACUGCAAGAAGAUCAAACCUCUCCAUUCUGAAGGAAAUCAGCCCUGAGUGCUCACUGGAAGGACAGAUCCUGAAGCCGAGGCUCCAAUACUUUGACCACCUCAUGAGAAGAGAAGACUCCCUGGAAAAGACCCUGAUGUUGGGAAAGAUGGAGGGCACAAGGAGAAGGGGACGACAGAGGAUGAGAUGGUUGGAUAGUGUUCUCGAAGCUACCAACAUGAGUUUGACCAAACUGCGGGAGGCAGUGGAAGACAGGAGUGCCUGGCGUGCUCUGGUCCAUGGGGUCACGAAGAGUCGGACACUACUAAACGACUAAACAAAUAAACGAGAAUAAAGAUGUUUGGUGAGCAUUCAUACUGAUUUGUUUUCAGCGAGGUUAGACGACACUUGCUGCUCACUUGAGUGUUCAUCCAGAUUUAAAAGCAGGGAGGUUAUAUCACAUUGGGUCAAGCAAUUGUUACCUCUCGCUUUCUAGUGCAUUUUCACAUGACUUUCCUGAACUGCAAAAAGUCUUAUCUUUGGGGGGAGGCGGGUUUGCUGCCCAAGACGUACCCAUAAACUGUAAUGGCACAACCUGAACUUGCCAGUAUGUGACUGAAUGCCACCUGAAAACAGUGGCAGUCUGUUGUUGUUGUUGUUAAAAUUUGUAUACCACUGUUCAUCUGAAGAUCAUAGGGUGCUUCACAACAUAAAAAUACAAAAUGAGAACACAAAAAACAUAAAAACAAAACAAAAGCAUAACACCCCCUCCCACAAUUAGCAUAUGCAGAUGUGACACAAAUCUUAUCCUCUUUAUUGAGGGACACAGUUCCUCUUUUUCUUGCAGCUGUUUCAAGUGGCUAUCCUUCUGCAAUCCACUGAGCAUUUUCAUAACACUGUAGUCGUAAAUUCCCUGCUAAGAAUUUUUUUUGCCACAUUUUGCAUCUUUCAGCGAGUCAUCAAGGGGAGCAUUUGUUGUUGUUGUUUAGUCGUUUAGUCCUGUCCGACUCUUCGUGACCCCAUGGACCAGAGCACGCCAGGCACUCCUGUCUUCCAGUGCCUCCUGCAGUUUGGUCAAACUCAUGCUGGUAGCUUCGAGAACACUGUCCCACCAUCUUGUCCUCUGUCGUCCCCUUCUCCUUGUGCCCUCAAUCUUUCCCAACAUCAGGGUCUUUUCCAGGGAGUCUUCUCUUCUCAUGAGGUGGCCAAAGUAUUGGAGCCUCAGCUUCAGGAUCUGUCCUUCCAGUGAGCACUCAGGCCUGAUUUCCUUCAAAAUGGAGAGGUUUGAUCUUCUUGCAGUCCAUGGGACUCUCAAGAGUCUCCUCCAGCACCAUAAUUCAAAAGCAUCAAUUCUUCGACGAUCAGCCUUUAUGGUCCAGCUCUCACUUCCAUACAUCACUACUGGGAAAACCAUAGCUUUAACUAUACGGACCUUUGUUGGCAAGGUGAUGUCUCUGCUUUUAAAGAUGCUGUCUAGGUUUGUCAUUGAGGGGAGCAUUAGGGAAGUACAUAUUGCAGAGCUGUAGGCAUCAUGACCCUGGAGUCAGAUUCUUCAUCUUCAGGGGAUGGGAGCAAGGACUCUGAAGCAGAAACAUGCCCACCGGAGGAGCCAUCAGUGCUUGUGUCCUGAGCCUGAUGGUACAGCAUUUUUUAAUCCUCAGAUUUUGGACUCAGCUAUAUUAGUCAGUCAGUUAUAAGUGUGUUAUAAUACCGUGGCACCAGAUUGCGCUGUAGAGCUGAAAUUGCAACUCAAUGAUUUUCCAUUGUGAGCUUUACAACGGUUUUUUCUCAGAACGUUUUUAAAGCGUCUUUUUUCUAGCUGUGUAGAUCUAGCCUUAGAAGACUCCAGUGCCAAAGGCCCAGUCAGACCAGAGUUUCUCCUGCCCUGUCACAGUAGGUGAUAGAACCCUAAGUUGGGGACAAACAGCAGACGUUCUUACACAGCAGCAGGAAUACAUAUGAUGGCUCCUGACAGAGGAUGUAGCUCAGUGGUGGAGCAUCUGAAAACAGGUGUGGUGAAAUUGAGAAUGUGCCCAUCAGCUUUCAUUGCCAUAUUUCCAUCUCUAGGUCACUGUGGUCCUGGGGAAAGAUAUCUGCUUGGAUUCAAACAUGAAACAUAGAAUUGCGUGUUAAAUAUACACACAAACACACCAUAUUCCAUGUUUCUUUUUAAAAAAUAAAAUAAUUUAUCAAAUUUCAGAAACGUAGAAACACAGGAAAACCUCUAUGAAGGCAAAACACAAAAUGUAUAAAAGGGCACCCAUGUAGAGAGAAGCGAUGGGGACAAAGGGAACACCAGACACAUAUAUUUUAUGGUCUGCAUGGACUUAUUAACAUCUACCUUUCCUUUUCCUUUUUUAAACUUAGUGGAACUACCAUAUCCCAUGCUUCUGAUACCUCACUGCAAAAGAGAAAUUUCAAACAAACAAAUUUGCAAAUCGAGAAUGCCAAACCGUUGAGUUAAACCAAAGGCCUUGUUUAGCUUGGCCAAAAUAUCUCCAGGUAUGUUCACAACACAUAAAAGUAACUUGAUUGGGGAAGGGAUAGUCAAGGAUCUCUAGACAAACUAGCCUGUCAACAACUCCUCCUGCUUCUUCCUUUCCUACUUCCAGCACCAUCCUGGCAUUCGUGGCACAAACUACAGAUUCCUGCAGGACGUUGCACAGAACCCUGAAAUCCAUCCAGAGACUUCUGCUGAUACAGAGCAGGGUCAGGCAAGAAAUGGCACCCCUGAUUUGCACUGAGCUUCCACACACCCAAAAUUCUGCUGAGCAUCACAUAGGGAGUUGCUUCUGCCCUUGCAAAACCUUCUAUACUUUUACUUCUGGUUCUGCAUAUAAACUUCAUCCAGGCCUCAACUCCCAAAGUUCAUAAAAAAAUGGCAUCUUCUUAGCAGGUGAACAAAUACAGUCAGUAAUGCAGGUAAGGAGUGUCAGUAAGAAACCCUUUAGAUAAGCAAAAGAGACGUUUUCUAAAUACUUAAAUCUGCUGCCUUGGGUAUUCCAGAAACCUUUGAUAAAUAUUGUUGUUCAUGGGGGCAAAAAAAAAAAAAGAAAAAAGAGAGAAAGAAGAGCAAAAUCAUUUUUUUCAUUUUGUAGCUGAGACAUCCGUGCUGAGUGCUACAUAAUCUUUGGAUUCAUGUGUCGGACAAUUACUGUCUAAUUAAUUAAUCAUCUGAUAAUUAAAAUGACCUCCUUUGGGCUGAUACCCGAUCUGCGCGAGGUUCAAAGGAAACUUGACACAUCGUGUUGUGUCCUGUUCCAGCAUGACCUACAGGCAUGUUAUCGUGUUAUGUCAAAUCUGGUUUUCCACAAGGAAAGCAAGCCAAGGUACAAAUUAAAGGAGGCAGGGGAGGAAGGGCACAGCUGCACGGGAUUAGAAACAGUGUAACUGGUCCUUCUACCUGGCAGAACGCAUACAUCAGGAAACUCCCAAGAGCAUCCGUGCACAAAGCGUGGGAUGGUAACGGCUGAGAGUGUUUGUUAUGCUACGGCUAUUGUACCAUUGUAGGUAAAGUAGAUUUUGCAUGCCAGUUAAAUUAGCUAAGCCACUGUUAUGGACUACAGCCACCAUAGGUGGUGUUUCAAUGGGGCAAGUGGAAGUUGCAGAUUGUUGGCCCUUGCAAAGGUGGAGAGGGAGCAUCACACAGGUGUUUGCGAGAGCCACAGGUGAUGCCCAGCCACAUGUUUACCUGCCCUGAGCCUGACGUCAAAUAUGAUAUCAGAGGUGGGUUGUGGGCCAAAUGGAAAGGCAACCCCAGGCUUAUUAGGCUCACAGGCUAGCAUUUCUCCUGUUGACUUAGGCCAAUAGUCUUCAGCCUUCCCAGAUCCACCUUCGACUUUGACCGAUAAGGGGCUAACUUCUAAUUCACAUCACCUACACAUUUUAACCCUUUAUCUGGGCUCCUUCCAUAUGGUUCUAAUUCAACCUGCUUGAGGUUGGUUCAGACCAGGCAUAAGCAAUCUCAGCCCUCCAGAUGUUUUGGGACUACAACUCCCAUCAUCCCUGACCACUGGUCCUGUUAGCUAGGGAUGAUGGGAGUUGUAGUCCCAAAACAUCUGGAGGGCCGAGUUUGCCUAUGCUUGGUUCAGAGCAUUGUAAAUCUCAGCUCCCCAGGUGAUAUGUGCUUAGGGUUGCCAUAUUUCAAAGAGUAAAAACCAGGACACCCCUAAAGUUGUUGGGUGGUUUGUUUGUUUUUGAAAAACCGAAAGUUGAUGAGCUUUCUUUUAGACAAACCCCAAAGCACCGCCUUUUGGAAAUGCCCCCCCCGGCAUCAAUUCCGUCUUUGAAAUCCCGGUAAUGUGCUGUCAUGUGUUGAUAGAAUACAACAGUCUUCCCCAAGCAGGUGCCCUGAAGAUAUUUUUUGGCUUAAUAAUAACAAUAAUAAUUUAUUUUUUUUAUAUCCCGCCCUCCCCAGCCGAAGCCGGGCUCAGGGCGGCUAACAACAUUAAAAUGAUACAACAUUCUAAAAUCAUUUCAUUAUAGAAUCAAUUCAAAUCAGAUUAAUGGCAACCAUUGGACUAGAGUUCUGUGAGAAUUGCCAAAGGAGGGGGUCAGGCUGUGCCCUGGCCAAAGGCCUGGUGGAACAGCUCUGUCUUGCAGGCCCUGUGAAGACCCGCAGGGCCCUAUUCUCUUGUGUUCCACCAGAUCGGAGCCACAACCGAAAAAGCCCUAGCUCUGGUUGAGGCCAGCCUAACCUCCCUGUGGCCCGGGACCUCCAAGAUGUUUUUGUUUGAAGACCGUAAGGUCCUCUGUGGGACAUACCAGGAGAGGCGGUCCCGUGGGUACGAGGGUCCUAGACCGUAUAGGGCUUUAAAGGUUAAAACCAGCACCUUAAACCUGAUCCUGUACUCCACUGGGAGCCAGUGCAGCUGGUAUAGCACCGGGUGAAUGUGAUCUCGCAGCGAGGACCCCGUAAGGAGUCUCCCUGCGGCAUUCUGCACCCGCCGGAGUUUCUGGGUCAGUCUCAAGGGCAGCCCCAUGUAGAGUGAGUUACAAUAAUCCAGUUUGGAGGUGACCGUCGCGUGGAUCACAGUGGCUAGGUCAGGGCGAGAGAGGUAAGGAGUCAACUGCUUAGCUUGCAGCUCCCAUCACUCUUGACCAUUGGCCAUGGGGCUGAGAGGAUUAGCAGUGCAAAACAUCUGAAGUGCACCACAUGGGAAACAUUUGCUCCAGGAAGCCAACCAAUCAACGUUUACAGAGUGGCAUGGUUAGAGUGGAACUACAGAUGGGAUGGACAUUUGCACUUCCAGCCCAUAUCAGCUGAAUAUAGGUGGAGACCACAAACCUCAACUCACCGUGUCAGCACUGAGGUUUUGUUCUGUGCAGCCAAGGUUUUUGUUCGGCUUUUUGAUUUUUGCAAGGCAAAAUUGAAUCUUUUUGGAGCUAAGGUGCUAAAAAGACACAUCAAACUCUGCUCUCCUGCUGGCAAGAUAGUAGCUAAGAGACUGAGCUGUGAAUCCGGGAGACUCCAGUUUAAAAAAUCUCAAGUCUUGUCACUAACUCGUUUGGCAGUCAUGGGGACCUUCAGAAUCUUUUGAACCUUUCUGCUGACUGUAUUGCAGAUAUCAAUAUGGUAUUUUUGCUUUGGCUAAGAGAGUCAGUUCCAGGGAAGGCAAUUGCUGUGAAGACAACUAAGACAAAGAAUUUUAGGCAUUUCACAAAUUUUAGAAGUGUCAUAUAAAUUAUUGAUAAUCAUAGGUGAUAAUCUUUCUUAGAGUUAUGCAGACAUGGGGAGAGAAAAAAAAGAAUUCUUUUAAAAUGUAAUUGCAAAACCAGAAUAGCUGCUCUACAAGUAGAGAGACUCAUUUACAAUCCUUGUAUUUGGAGCCAUCAGUUUUUUGGACUAUUUUCAAACUAUUUGGGAAAAAUUCUGUUUGAGACUAUUUGUAUAUUUUCUACAGAUCCCAUUUUGAAUAUUAGUGUGCCUUGAGCUUACAUGCCAUUUCCCUAGAACAGGGUUUACCUUAUUAUACAGCUCCUGUUUCAUUUUCUCUUUCAUUGUUUUGUACUUUAAAUAUAUAGAUUCCGAGAUAGGCUUCCGUACAAAAUGUGCACAUGUUUUGGGUGGUUGUAUUGAAUUCUUGUGACCAGCGUAGAUGAUCUGACCUUUGAAACCCUGGAAACGAAACCGAGAAAUGGAUUUGCAAGAAAGCCGAGCUGUUCCAGUUUAGCGGCAACGGAUUUGCCCAACUACAUCAGAUAUUCUGACUCUUUCAGAAGUUGUGGGUGAUGCUGGCCUCAUCUCCAGGGGAUAUUAGUUUUCUGUAUAUAAUUAAUAACAAGAAAACUGUAUCCUGACUUGAGGGCCUGCAUGAGCAUACUGGAACAAAAAGGGCCAUAAAUUAACAUCAAUUAUGUAUUAAAGUUCCAAUUAACCUGGCUGAUACUGAUAUACUUUAACAAGGUACACUUAGAUAAAAGAAGCCAACUCUCUAAUUACUUGGAAUGGGACCUUCUGACCCCCUCCUCCCUUUUAUGCCAACACCACCCUAAUGAGGAAGGAAGUGAGAGGUAGGGGACCCUUACAGAAGGUGAGGUUCUGAGCACCACCAGAUGCCCCCCUGGGACAUGCCUCUACCUUCUUCUUAAAACUGUCAAUGAUGAAUAUUUCAUUGCUCUUGAAGCCUUUUAACCCUUGGAGGAGGCAGAUGGUUCAAGCUCAAAGGGGCUAGGAGCAUCCUUCAAGCGCUUGAACGUUGAGCUCUCCAUCUACUUUACAUAUUCACUUCCCCAACCUUUUAUGAGCUUCCUCGUUCUCUACUCAUAAGACGUACGUGUUGGAUUUGUUUCUAAACUUCACCGCUGUUUUGCUAUUUAGAUAUCUUUUCUGCCUUAACCCAAGAACGGGUCAGUGUGACCCGUUCCAGCAAGUAUCAUCUACUUACUUAGCUCCUGUCUCUUCCUCUCCUUUCUCUUUGUCCCUACCUCCCCUCUCUUUUCAUCAUCAUCAUCAUCAUCAAUCAUCAUCUUUAUUAUGGUCCAGAGACCCAACAAAUCGUUACAAAGCAAUACACAAUUCAUACAGCCUACCUCCAGGUUAAACAAGAAUUUUGUUCAGAAUAUAGGGAUCAUUGGUUCUUACAACCACCGAUAAAAACUUUGCCACUGCUAAUGUUCUAGCGUUUGUCUGAUCUUCCAAUAGGAACCUGACAUAGUGAGCCUCUGAUUUUCCUGGGAAAGGUACCAGCAAGGUUAAUAUCAGUUCAGCCCUGACUGGCUCAUAUUUUGCACAGUGCAACAAAAUAUGUUUUAUGGAAUCGAUGUUUUGAGCGCAUGAGCAAAGUCUGUCCGGGUAGGGAACUCCUCUCAACCUGCCAUCCAACACUGCAGAAGGAAAGACGUUUAGUCUGGCUUUGGUGACUCUUUUUAAAAGAUGGUCCUAGUGCCACUGAUAUAACCUACCUUAGCUAACAUGGUCUACUGGAAGACCAGGGAGUCGCAGCCAGUUUUUAACCUCUUGGGAUCCUUGUGAAGAUGAUUUAAGGGUGCUUUCAAAUGGCAACAGGUCAUUGAGAUGUUGCAAAAUGGGUCAUUGGUAGCAGCUAUAUUUUUAUUUUAUCAGAUCUCCACAGAAUUAAAUGGGGGAAAAUACUGGCUGGCAUUUUCAUGCUAGUGAUGUCAUGUGGACACUGAAAAGAAGAACACAACUUGCAUGCGUGAGCAGCGCCUUUGGAAGUAUCCAAAUUCCUCAAUCCUACACGCACUUUCGCAAUCCUAUUUACAUUGGCGUAAACCCCACUGAAAACAGUAGGAUUUACCUCUGAGUAAAAAGGCAGCUUGAGAGAGGUGGUAGCAUGAAUUUCUUUGGACCGCUCAUGAAUCCCACCCCCUUGAAUAACAGGACUCCCUGCAAAUAGAAAACUAGCUCAGUGGAACAAAGUUUCAGCACGGUCUUUUUUCUUUUUUUUUUACUGAUGCACAAGUUUUAUAUUUGCAAAUGUUGUUGUUUACAUAGGGGAGCAUCCAAACAUCUCUGUGUGCAUAGGGUUCCUCUACGCAAGUCCCCCCUCCUCCAUGCUUAGAGAAGUUCCACCUCCUAACUCUCCAAGUGUCUCUCAGAAAGAUGGCUAUAAAAACUCCCUACAUCUUUGUGUGAGAAGAGAGCGUGGUGUAGCGUAGUGGUUAAGAGCGGUAGACUCGUAAUCUGGUGAACCAGGUUCGUGUCUCCGCUCCUCCACAUGCAGAUGCUGGGUGACCUUGGGCCAGUCACACUUCUUUGACGUCUCUCAGCCCCACUCACCUCACAGCGUGUUUGUUGCGGGGGAGGAAGGGAAAGGAGAAUGUUAGCUGCUUUGAGACUCCUUUGGGUAGUGAUAAAGCAGGAUAUCAAAUCCAAACUCUUCUUCUUCUCCUCUUCUACUUGCUGUUUGGUAGGUGGACCAUUAUAGGGGCAGAAAGAAAGACCUGUAAAGUUGAUGGGGUCGCAGGCAGAGAGGCAGGACCAUUGAAUUAGCUGCCCUGAUCCCCACUUCUUACCUGAAAUGCUCUUGGUAGGUAUUCUGUCCCGCCCCAGUUUCAAAGCUCUGCUUUCAAAGUGGUAUUGCAGAGUUUGCGUGUUUUUUUAAAUAACUCUGACCCAGUCUUCAAAGUAAUAUUUUUAACUACUUAGAGUUGUGGGUGCGGGGGGGGGGGGGAGAGAAGAAAGAUAAAAUAUAAGCACUUUGACACAGAAUUUCCUGUUAUCUGGCUACAUGGGGGCCUUUCCAGAUCUAUGAUGCGUUGCCCACAUACUUCUCUUUUUCACCAGGAAUAAAUUUAUAAAUAAUCUUGCCCACUCAGGAAGCCCCAUUCUCUUUAGAAAGACCAGGGAUUUGGCCAGAAAGAGGAUUAUUGAUAACACGGAAUAUCUUUAUUAUAGUGGUGUCCGCAAGCACGGCUGUACUUAAAGGUCUGUCAGCAUUUUGAUUUUAUAUAUAUUUCUUCAGAGGUUUAUAAACUCACACGCAGGGGAGAAAAAUUAAAUGCAAAAAAAGUACUCAACCCUAAAACUUGGCAUGCAAAGGAUUUAGCUGCCAGAAAGUUGGGUUUUAUCAGUGUUAUUUUUAUUUUCAAUUAAAACGAAAUUGGGUUUGCCAUGACUUAUCGCAGAUUAAAUAACUAGCUCUGCCUAUUGAGCUGCAUAGCUUAACCCCUUUGCUCCUGCUGAGUCUGGACUGAAGAAGUGGCAGAAGUGUGUGCACAACGUCUCCUGACCGUGCUGGGACCUCUCACAACAGCCCUGUAAGGAAGACCAGGUGAUGUGCCUCAGACGGACAAUGGCUAGGACACCAUUUAGGGAAGGAAGGAGAAAGGGUGCCCUUGAUUCCCUAAUGUUUCAUGUGAGAAGCAAUGCAGUACAGUGGUGUGAAAAAAUAUAUCAGCUUCCUUCCUCUCUUUGGGCUUCUGCAACCUAUUUGAUUUGCUUCCACAAAGCUUCCACCAAGGUUAGAUUAGCUUUAUUGAGAAUUUGUUCUGUUGUUGCUAUUUUUGUGGGAAUGUUAUAUGACAACAAGCAUCCACACUGCAUCUGGAUGUGGGUGUGGGGUGUUUAUGCAUCCUCCCAUCAAUCAUUUGUCCAUUCCACGCAUAUUACUUUCUUAGCUCCCAACUAUUCCAUUUAAAAAAUAAAAAAAUAAAAAGGUGGCUUCGUUGUGCUACUGCUUUAUCUAUUUGAACUGUGCAAAUGCAAAUUGCCUAGUGCGUUGCUUGAAUUCAUUCUGCAAAAUGCUGACUGCAUGGGGGUGCCCUUUGAUAACACCUUCCGUGAGACCUCUCUGGACAAAGUCUUGCCCAGCUAUCUGUAGGCACUAAAAUCUGCAUUGUUCCACAUCUAAAGAUAAUUUCCCUGCUUCAUCCUGCCCUCCCAACUGCAUGGCUCACCAAAAUGCUAACUGAGGUACUUGCAGGAAACUCCUGAAAGAUGCACAUUUGCUUUCUGCUACCCUAUUGGAGCCCUUGUGAAGGAAUGGAGAGUUUUCUGUCCUCCAUAAACAAGCAUUUUUGCCUGAUUUUCUUUGUUCUUCACUCUCAUGGCUAGGAGUCAAGUUCCUGACUCCUCAGCCCCAGGAGCUCAGGUGAGUUUCUUUGCCUCCUGCCUCUAAGCUGGUUUAGAAACACGAGUUGCUCCAUUUAAAGUUUGCUGUUAUUGCAAGUGUAGAAUAUCCCCGAGUUAAGAAUCAGGAAGAUGUUCCUGGCUUGAAUUUUGCACCUGCUAUCAAUUUAUUAUGUGCUUGCUUGCUUGUUUUUUUUUACUUUUAUGCUGCCUUUCCUCAAUGAGCUGGGCCCAAAGCAAAUUACAACAAACAUUCAAAACAUCAAAACAGAGAACACUGGAAGUAAAAAUGUACAAAAUGCAGAACGUGUAAGCAAGUUCAAAAUAACAAAAGCUAACAAUUUAGCAAACACAGAAUGAGCUCAAUCAUAGAAUUGGAAGGGACUCUGGGGGUCAUCUAGUCCAACCCCCUGCAAUGCAGGGAUCUCAACUAAAGCAUCAAUGACAAAUGACCACCCAACCUCUGCUUAAAAACCUCCAAGGAAUCUUGUAACUUGAAUCCAUUGGUUCGCAUCCUAGUCUAGCAGGAGAAAACAAGCUUGCUCCAUCUUCCAUGUAUCAGCACUUUAGAUGUUUGAAGAUGGCUGUCAUAUCUCCUCUUGGUCUCCUCUUUUCCAGGAUAAACAUACCCAACUCUCUCAACCAUUCCUUAUAAGGCUUGGUUUCCAGACCCUUUAUCAUCAUGUUAACCAACCAACAAACAAAUCUAGGAUCUAGAAGCCUGGCUUAGAUACAUUUCAGAUGAUGUUCAGCUGGUGCUCACAUCUCUCCUCCAGAGAAGACGGACAGUGGCAAAAUGCAAAUGUCAGGGAAAGCGAUGAUGGCAAGACUCUUCCACAGCCUCCUGGAAGUACCAGCUGCUGGUGCAGGUCUUAUUGGCCUAAUCCAAGUCACUCUACUCCAUUCUCCCCAUCUGUAGACUGAAGGUAAAAAUACUAUUCCAUACCUCGCAAGUGUCCUAGAAAAAAUGGGGCAUUCUGUUUUUUCUCGUCAGAGAACAGCGGUUCUUUUGGACACUGUGAUCUUGCACAAUUUUGCACUGAGAUCCCCCCCCAAUGCUUUUUCUGGGGCCACAAUCUCACUCAAAAUGCACAGAGGGUAGGAAUUAUGGCUGCUGAGGUGGGUCCCAAAGGGCUGCAUUUGACUCCUGGAACUGAGUCUACAUAGCCCAGCUAUAUUGGGACAAAAUAGCAUUUCUUCUUGGGUGGUGAGAUGCUGCUCUUAUACAACAGAGAUUAUAUGCAUACACACCAUGAUAGGGUGGCACAGUUAAAAAACUCCAUUGCCAUCCUGCUUUCCUCUUGACGGCUAGAGCAAAGACCCAUAUCAUGUUCGCCAAACAUACACAGUUUUUUUUUAUGUGCUUUAAGCACAGUUAAGUUAUUUAAAGCCCUUUCUUCUCACUGUACAAUUUAUUCUUUCCUUCAUGUCUCUCAGCAUUUCCUAUUUGUGGUCAGCGGAAUUGUAUCUUUCCUGUACUGAAUCGUACACAAAGGAUAAUACUGUUCUGUUUUGUCUGUUGACAAGAUCUUCAAAUCCUACUGCCCCACGGACGCAUAAUCGAAAUUUAAAGGAAAAUGUUUCCAUCUAUUUCCUCACCACCACCACCCCAAUAUAUACACAUAUAUAUGUAGGGAUUUAGCUAAGACUUUGACACCAUGGAAACUAGGCCCUAGGCGAUGAUCCUGUUCCUUCGAAAUAUUAUCCCCUGACUUUCAAUUUUGCUUGAGGUGUGUGUGUGUGUGUGUGUGUGUGUGUGAUGAAAGAGCUCUUUCACAGAAACUUACUUUGCCCUUUAGCUCACAUGCUCCCCAAACAUCUAACUGCAGCGGAUGUGUUGGUGCCUAUGUACAAACGUUGGUAUUCAUUUAAAGCACAAGCCAUAAGGGCAUCAUUUUGACAUGUGAGAUGUUUGCAGAGGGAAGGCGUUCACUGCAAGGACUCCCAUGGUGCAUGUAUGCACACUCACGUGUACACACAUACUUGGGAUCCUGUCAAAGAUGGCUGGGGCGCCUAGCGUCAGAGGUGAUAGGUAGCAUCUGCUCUUGUCUUGUGCCCCGAUGGCCCUGCAGUGUAUGGGGAGUUCAGCAUUAGAAAUAAACUUCCCCUUAGCUCCAACGAUAGUCUCCACCAGUAACAUACCCUCCAACAUCUCUCCAAUGAAAAUAGGGACGCCCUGUUCCAUAACGAUAAUUUUACUGUUUAUACCCCACACAUCUUACUGGGUUGCCCCAGCCACUCUGGGCAGCUUCCAACACAUAUAAAAACAUAACAAAACAUUAAACAUUAAAAAAACCAACCCUUCCUUAUACAGGAUUGCUUUCAGAUGGAGCGGAUAACUCCAUAUCCUCCAACAUUUCUCCACUGGAAAUAGGGGCAUUCUAAGGGAAAGUGGGACAUUCCAGGAUCAAAUCAGAAACAGGGAUGGCUUCCCUGGAACAUCCCUGGAAUAAGGGACAUCCCUGGAAAAUAGGAACACUUGGAGGGUGUUGCUGGAGUGUAUUUUUACUGAGUUUGCAGCUGUGGAAGGCGUACAUCUCCUCACCCUGUGAAGCCCUCUUCCCUCUCUCUCUCUCACACACACCUUGUGACUUUAAUUUUUUUAAAAACCUACAUGAUCAGUCCUUAAGAGGAGAUUUGUUAUGUCUGAACAAAACGUGAAGCAUUUGUUUCCAUUGCUCACAUCUCACAUAAUGUAUAUUGGUGGAACGUCUGCACCCUUAGUGGGUAAGAUGAACAAUGAUUGCCAUUCUUCUUUCUUUCGGAUAUCGUCGUCAGUAUUUUGAAUUAUUUUUGGGGGGAAUGCUUGGCAUUUUAACCUUCUCUUAUCCCAAUCACAUUAUUUCUCUCUCUUUCUCCCAAGUGUUCUCUGAUCUUUCUUCUCCUUCUGCAAACCUGUUUUCUGGCAGCAACCUUAUCAGACCCAAGGCCUACCUUUAAUCCAAGGUGGCAGCAUGGGAACCCAAUUUAAAUUGUCCAUCUUUCUCCGUUUCCCUCUUUAGGAUGGCCAGAUGUGACAGAUGAUGGCAAGGCUCUUGCACCAUUAAUACUUGCACAGAAGAAGGAAUUUUAGCAGGUGCAGUUUCACAUGGAGAGUUGAGAAAAGGGACACAUCCUGGAAUCACCUAUGCUACACAAUUAUUGGAGUCACAGGAAUCCACAUCCUCCUUUGUUUAAAUCUGGCAAGUUUCUUUCUCUUUCUCUUGUUUUUAUUUUUUUUAAGCUAAGUUGCAUUGAAAAUAAAAAAGAUGCUGAUUCUACUAGUAAGACCCAUGAGGUUAGGUUGUGACCCACUUGUGCCCCCAGCUGUAGACCAAUGCUAUAUAGAAUGAAAGUGAUGCAUAUUUUCACUGGAUCAGUGUGUGAACAUGAUAUUUGAGAGGGUGGAACCUUAAAAGGUUGUCUUGAAAAUGACUGUCCAUGUUACAUGCCAUUCCAUUUAAUGUUGCAUUAUUCUGUUCAAUUAUUGAUUGAAUGGAACUGGAGAAGGGAAGGGUUGACUCAUACCAGUGUAGGGAUGACAUGUGAAUAUUCACAAAGUUUUUACAUUUUGUCCACAUUCUGAAGAAAAAUAAAGCCCUUUCUUCCAUCUCCUCCUGCCUCACAUCUGAUGGGGGGCAGCCUGAGAAGAGCUCUAGACCCUCUAGAAGGACUCUAGAGGGUCUGCUCUGGAGAGCCCCAUACCAUCUGAUUGUGGGAGCUGGAGCGGACAGGAGUGGAAGAGGAAGCUCUGUUGCACACACUGUAGUUGGCUGCACCAGCGCAGCUGCAACCUUGGAGACAACCCAUAUUUCUGAACGUCUUUUCUUUCAAAAUACGCAUUUCUAAACAUACUGGGUGAUAUUCAGCUGGGUCGUAUUAGAGGCCCAUUAGAAGUCUUGGAUUUAAGUCACUUAAGUCCAUUGGUUUCAAUGGGUCUGCUCUAUGACUGUUGGAUAGCUCUCACUUUCUCUCGAAAUAGCAUUUGCCACUUAUCUUGAGCUGGAAACUCAACGUUCAAUAGGUGGCUACAUUUCAACCCACACGUUAAUCUUGGAGGUGCGGAUCAGGUCAGUCAGCACUGGAACCCACAAAGAUGGAUUUCCCCAAACAUAAACCCUGGAGGCUCAAAUGAAGAAGGAAGGAAAGACGACCUCAGGACACUUAUAUUUCUCUCCCUUCAUACAUUAUUCUCUCUCCUAGACACAGGAGGAGAACAAGAGACUCACCUUCCUCCGCAUGGGUCAGCUUGCUAAUUCUAACCAGCUUGUUUUUAUUUUUAAGUGCCAAUCAACUAGAGUUAUUUCUUGCCUGCUCAAGACAACAGAGUUUAAAGCUUAACGAAGAAAAGAGGAGACACACCGGAGGGUCUGGUGCUAAUGUCCUCUGUUCUCUGAACCUGUCUGUUCUACCAGUGACCCAUAGAGGAGCUGUGUCAGCUUAUCAGUUAACCAGCCAUCGCUGACAGACAAAUACCUUAAGACCGAGGUUGGGCAAAACUGCUACAAAUGUGCCAACCAUUUCAGAGCCGGCAAAAAUCCCUUCAUUCAGGCUUUUCAACCAUGGCUAGAGAUAACCACAUCUGCAAUAAUAGGCUACAUGCUUUCAGGAGUAUUAGACUCAAUUUUUUAAACCAUGAGAUGGGCUUUGUAUUAUUUUUAUUUUUUUGUUUUGUUGUGGUAUUGAUGGCACUGAAAUCACAAUGGGAGGUUUCCAUUUCAUGGUUUCAAUUAAAAUGAUGAAUAGUGAUAUGCCUUUCCAAGCCUGAGAGUCGUAUGGGUUUAAGCAGGCCUCAAUUCAGUUUGCCUACCUAGUCUGAGCAUUCCAAAACUACUUCAACCAAGACACAGCCAUCCUUCCAAAUGCACACUUUUCCAGAUUUUGUGAGGGAGUCCUCCAGCCCAAGCAAUGUGCACAGAAAUGCAUUCACUAGGUUAAAGUGUAAAAUAUUACUGAAAAUACAAUACAAAAAUGCAUUGCAUUAGGGGAAAUUGCUUUUCGAACAAGAAGCUUGCAUUAGAUGAAUUUUCAGGAGGACUUAAAUUGCAAACGUGUGGGAAUGUGGAGAACUGAACUUAAUAUUGGGAAAACGGCCUAGAGAAACAAAAAGUGACAGAUGAGCCUCUGUUUGGAUCUGCCCCCAUAAUCUGCUGGUGUCUGGUUGAUCAUGGGGGCAGGGCUGGGUUGCAGGGUCCUGGACUUUGGAUUUUGGGGUCCAGCCAUCUCUGCAUUGUAUGUGCAAUUCAGCUCCUUCACUGCACAAAAGAUGCCUUUUUAAAAUUAGGCCAAUCAUCCCUUCAUUAUCUAGCUAUCUAGGUGCCAGAUUUUUUUUUUCUGAGCCAAAUGUCUUGUCUUGUUUUUUUAAAAAUUAUUCGGCAACCCAGGGGGUACAGUUUUUAGGCUCUAGGCAUUACUGAGCACCUGGAUUUCUGUACCCCAGAAUAUAUUUAGACUGAGCCAUCUUUUAAAUAUAUAGAGCAGACAUCACUUGGACAGGAGUUCCAUACAUGGGUGCCAACACUGAAAAAGCCCUGCUUUGCAUUCCAAAUGUCAUUCAUAGGAAUGAUCCAUGUUUUUUCAUGCGUGUCUGCCUUUCCUUACAUAAUUUUUACAAUGACCCUCAUUUCAGAUGACGUCCACACUUAAAACUACCGUGUUAAAAAAUAAAAAUCAUUUGCACUAAUAAUAUCUCAGUCCCCACUCCACAGAUGCUUUAUAGUUUUAAGAGAAAAAUGCAAGGGCACUGCGAAGAAAGGAAGGAGGAGGGAGAAAGGUUGUACGGCUGAAGUGUGCUCAGAGAAAGCUGAUCUCAUAGUUGGAAAUGCCAGCGGGUUCCUAGUCCUGAAACCCAAAUGCUUGUUGAUUUUGGCUGAAUGCAUCUGUUGAGUACCGAGUGACAUUUACCUGUGCAGGCAGCAUCUUGGAUUUCAACACAAACUAAUCUAGCCAUCCUUUUGGCAUCCAUCAUUCCCAGUGACCCAAGCGAAAGAGCUGCAUGCAACACCUUGUAUGCUCUUGCUUUCAGGCGGGGUAUCAGCUAGCAAUUAUGGCUAGUCAUUUGUCCAAGCGCUUUUGGAGGAAAGGGGUGACCUGCUAGGGUCUGCAGGUAUUGUCAAACAAAGAGAGGCUUGGAUCAUGACAAGAAUGCCUUCGCAAGUUCCCACCCAGCCAGCAGUCAAGUUCUAUCUUGAAAAAAUAACAGGGAAGGCAGAACACACAACGUUAUCUCCCUUUCCUAUCCCUUUGUCCAUUUUUGCAUCACUUAAGAAAACACAUUUGGUAUGGGGUCUGCCUUCUUAAUGUGACAGGUUGCUUUUUUUUUUUUUUGCAGGGAGGGGUUCAUAAUAAUAGCCAGCUGAUGGCAGUAGACGUGGAGGCUGAAUGACAGGACCCAUGCCAAGGGGAGAGGAGACAAAGGGUUUCUUCCUGAAAGAGAGUGAGUGUGUGCAACAGAACACAUCUCCCCCCCCCAAAUACCUUUGUUUUGCUGUUCUGCUUCCCUAGAAUAUCUAGAUUCGGUUAAGUAUGCAAGUAGAAGACACAGUUGUUUUUACUUUAGGAGUGACGCAGGAAUUCCCAUUAGGACAGCAUAACAUUGCUAACUUUCAAUCUGUGGCAACAUGGAGGCAGCCCCCAAAAAUGGAAAAAAGCAAACAGAGAGAUUGGUACCGUGCUGAAAGGUUUAGUCAUGCAAAUAAAAUAAAGUCAUAUCAACCCCAAACGCAUGCUAAAUGCAACCUUUCUCAAUGACAAAGGAGCCUGUUGUUCUUCUUUCUUUUCUCAAUGAGAGUUCCCUUGGGAGCCCUUUUUUUAGAAGGAUGCCUAGAUCACUCGAGAGAGGUCCCCUGCUCUUCAUAUAUCUAGAAAGCCUCUAGGAAUGCAGAACCUGUUACUCUCCAGAGGUUAUGAAACUUCCAAUGACUGCCAACCCUGGCCAGCAUGGCUAGUGGUCAAGGAAGAUGAAGGACACUGUCCAUCUAGAGAGCCACAGUUUCCUCAGCCCCGUUCUAAAAUCUAAAGUGAGGAUGGCUUUUCAGGUAUUGUUUGACUCCAGCAUCCAUCCAUCCCAGCCAGCUUCAGGCCCAUCACUGCUCAGCCUUGGUUAGGUAUGAUACUGACUAAACAUCAGGAAGAACUUUCUUAUGGCGAGAGCUACUUGAUAGUGGAACGGACUCCCUCGGGAGGUGGUGGACUCUUCUUCCUUGGAGGUUUUUAAGAAGAGUUGGGUGGCCAUCUGCCAUGGAUACUUUAGUUGAGCAGGCUGGACUAGAUCAUUCUCGGGAUCCCUUCCAACUCUACAGUUCUGUGAUGGGAACUAUAACCCUCAUCUCUCACCUGGAGCAAGAUUGCAAACUCUAUGAAAUGCAGCGUGGGAGCUAUCUAAUGUGCCUAUGACUGUAUUUCAGUUGGUUUUUAUAGUUGUAAGCUGCCCUGAGAACUUGCUUAUAGGAUGGCAUAGGAAUGCUUAAUAAAAUCCAAAACAGUUGCAUCUAUAUUUAAUCACUUGAUGUGUGUCUGCUUCUAGCUCUUUAUCAUCCAAAUCCCCUUUGUUCUGUUCUGUUUGUUUUUAGUUGUUUAAUUACCUAUUACACAUGAAUAUCCCUUUUGUUCUUUAUGGGGCACUGUAUUGUUCUAAAUAAUUGUUAUAUAAAUGAAAAUUUCUUGAAAUAAAGGGUAUGUACUUAAAACAAACAAGGAAAUGACUGCCUCACCAAAACAAACUCACACGCAUCUGCUGCAGCUCUCCCGGCCAUGCUUUUGGGUGAGAGCCCUGCAAAGCUAUUGCUGUUCUUAGAACAGUGGUUUUUAGAUUUUGAGAGCCAGCAUGUUGGCAUCCAUCUCUCUCAAGAGGCAAUGGAGUGCGCCUCCAGAGGUGAAGUCAAACUGCUGGAGCUCACGCCGCCUGCUGUGACUGCAGAAUCCAAAGCCAUAACUAUGGGGGAAGCAAGACCCUCUUGGGGUGUUUAUGCUGUGAAUCCCUUCAUCGUAAGGUUCAGAUUGUAUAUCUGUGUAAGUAAACACAGGCUGAAUCCUGACAAGACAGAAGUACUGUUUUGGGGGGACAGGAGGCGGGCGGGUGUGGAGGACUCCCUGGUCCUGAACUGGGUAACUGUGCCACUGAAGGACCAGGUGCACAGCCUGGGAGUCAUUUUGGACUCACAGCUGUCCAUGGAGGUACAGGUCAAUUCUGUGUUCAGGGCAGCUGUUUACCAGCUCCACCUGGUACGCAGGCUGAGACUCUACCUGCCUGCAGACUGUCUCGCCAGAGUGGUGCAUACUCUAGUUAUCUCCAGCUUGGACUACUGCAAUGGUCUUGAAACACUGGUCUUGAAAGACCUACAUUGGCUCCCAGUACAUUUCCAAGCACAAUUCAAAGUGUUGGUGCUGACCUUCAAAGUCCUAAAUGGCCUCGGCCCAGUAUACCUGAAACAGCGUCUCCAUCCCCAUCGUUCAGCCCGGACACUAAGGUCCAGCUCUGAGGGCCUUCUGGUGGUUCCCUCACUGCGAGAAGCAAAGCUACAGGGAACCAGGCAGAGGACCUUCUCGGUAGUGGCAUCCGCCCUGUGGAAUGCCCUCCCACCAGAUGUCAAGGAAAUAAACAACUACCUGACAUUUAGAAGACAUCUGAAGGCAGCCCUGUUCAGGGAAGUUUUUAAUGUGUGACAUUUUAAUGUACUUUUAAUCUUUGUUGGAAGCUGCCCAGAGUGGCUGGGGAAACCCAGCCACAUGGGCAGGGUACAAAUAAUAAAUUAUUAUUAUUAAUAUAUUCUAAAGGAAACACGAACCCUGGGUGAACUCCUGGAAUCUUGCACCGCUUGAAUAUUGGGUUGGCGUACAACAAUGUGUAAUGCAUUUUCCAUCCUCCAGAAAAACUUUCCAUGACGACUUGAAUGUGUUGCAGAUGAUUAUUGCAGAUGAUCAAGGGCCAGGCAUCAGCCAUGCCUAUUGAGGGCAUGACUUGGAACAUAUCCCACAGGCUGCUAUGGCUGCACAUUGCUGAGGCACAUUGCAGAAGCAGAUUGGUGGUGAUGGACGAACUGUCAUUCAGGGAAGCUUGUUUCACCAAUCCUUUCAAUGAGGACACCCCUUUCCCAAUAAACCUCUAGGGAACAACGUUCUAGGGAAGGUACUGCCUGAAAAGAGACGGACCUAGAACCCUGUAAUGGAAGCACUUUAUGAACACAGGGAAAGAAGACCCCACCAUCUGUUGUUUAGCAGCAAGGAGGCCUCAGUCCAUUGCUACUUCCAGCUUCUCCAUCUGUUGUCGUCACAUAUAUCGCCAUGAUGAAUCUAGGUACUAACAUGUCCCUGAAAUGGAGCAAAUGGUUUUGACUCAGGCUUCUUAUGUGAAUUUAUGAUGGCUUAAAGAAGAGACGGUGGUCCUAAUAAUCCAGGAUUAGAAACAGAAAAUGUAGAAAACCAUGGGGUCGCAACUGGAAGGAAGAUCAUUCGUUUCAGCUGAAGACAGGGAAUAAAUGCAAAAGACUUCGUUUUCUCGUGUAUGGAAAGCAGGCCUCAGAUAAACAACGUAGUCCAGAAAACGCACGUUUGUGUGCUAACUCUGUUACACACACAGAGCUCGAGGCGAGAUGCGUCUAUAAAUAAAAAACGCCCCACCCACCCUUCGUCGAAAUCUGUGGGGAAUUUAGUGAGUGUGUGUUUUUGUAAGAUAUUUCUGUUCAAUUAGGCCACACCGUACAGUGGCUUUAUAUGAAAGGCGGCCUAGAGACAGAGCGAGCGCAGGGUGGCUCUGUGGAAGUGAGAGUACAUUGUAAUGAUAGCAGCCGUGCUCGGGUUGCGAGUGUCAUUCACCUCUUAUUCUUAAUCAAAAGGCUUCCAAUCCCUUCUUGAGGCACGUCCUCUGGAAAUGAAGGGACUGCCAGAGGAAUCAUUUGAAUGUGGCAGCCCUUGAUAAUGAUGAAAUGAAUAAAAGGUUCACUUUUUUAUUUUAUUUUUUUUGGUUUGGGUGAGGAGGAAUUCAGCUCACGGCUCAUGAAAAGGCCGCAGUUUAAUAGCGGCCGACGGCAGCCGCAAGGGCUUCUAGUUAUCUGCCGUGCGGCCUCCUUUGCAGAGAUAAUGGCUGCAACAAGGGCUUCCCCUCAGCCUACUCUCAAGGCCUGACGGAGCAGAGGGAAGCAGCCUGAGAGGAAUGGAGAGCCUGGUUCACACAAUCGCUCCUUGGAAAUGUGCGCUAUGUCAUACCCGUGAGAGCAUGGCAGCCAUUUUGGGCGCCGUGCUCUCGUGUGUGUGUGUGUGUUUUGGGGGGUAAGAUCUUGCGAUCUCAUUAGUGUUGGGCAGCCCCUAGUGGAAACUGCCAUUUAAAUUUCCCACAAUGCCUCAGUGCAACUCCAUAUUAUGGGCAUCCUAAGAAAUGGUGGCUAGGCAAAAACAACAGCAACAACCAUUUUGUGGAUUGGGUGUUGGGCAGGUAAUUGCAGGUAUCUCUGCUGGUCUCUGAGAGCAUGCUGGGAUCCUGAUAGCUUCCUGAGGCUGCUGAGUGCAGAUGUCAGGCCAGCCUGGUCCUAAAUUGCCCUAAUAGUUAUACACUGGACCCUCAGGUAACGUUACCUUCGGGUAACAUAACUUUCGGGUUGCGAACGCAGGAAACCCGGAAGUGUAUACUUCCGGGUUUCACCACGCGUGCAUGCGCAGAAGUGCUCUAUUGCGCUGCGUGUGUGUGCGCAGAAGCAGCUCCUCUAGAUGCAGAUUUUUUUGGGAAUGUACGGACCCCCGGAACGAAUUAAGUUCGUAUCCAGAGGGUUCACUGUAGUAGGGUUUGGUGUUGCCAAUUUGUUGCAAUCUGAGGUGUUGUUCAGUGACACUCUCUCUCUCUCUCUCUCUGUACGUGUGUGUGUGUGCGCGCACACGUGUAUGUGUACGUAUGCAAUACAAUAUUUGUGAAAAUUGUGUGUUUGCACAUGUAUAUUUAUUUAUAACAUAACUUCAGGGCGGGGUACUUGCAUGUUUUCCUUCGCAGAGCUCAACAGUCUAUUUGAAACGCCGUCAAAGGACAGCCCUUUCUUUGCAGGAGUCCCCUUAUGAAAAGGGGUGCCUGCUCCAAGUCAAGAAGGGAGAGCGGCAGGAGUCUUCCGGUUGCCUACCAGCAGUUGGCACCCCGGUAGCAGAUGGAGCAGACACACACCCGGCCACAGUCUUUCCUGCUAUGGUGAGAUGUAUUGUUGUUCUGUUUAAAUAGUUGUCAUUAAUAAUAAAUGUGCCCACGUUCAUACAGAAAUUAGCACAGGCAAAUUUCACACAAACCUGUACCCUUUUUUCUCCUCUUUUUUAUGAUGCCUAAGUUGCCACCUUACAGCAGGGUCUAGCUAAACUAAUAAAAACUUUUGGCAACUGACUUAAGAGCUGCCCCUCACUCCACUGCCCCCUUCAGACUGUCUAAAGUAAUUUGAUAUCUCCAGGUUGAUUGUAUGUCUCAGAUGCACAGAAAAAGGAAUUCAUGACACAGUUGUGUAAAAACAAGGGAGACCUUCUAUUUUUUAUUUUUUUUACAGUUUACUUGUUUAUAACAUUUAUCCGUUUCACUCUCAGUCCUAAGGCACUUGAGAUGAUACAUUUUAAAGAUAUGAAAUGAUAAUCUUGUGCACUGAGACUUCUUUUGUAGGGCUGACAAUUAGGGGGUUGGAGACUCAAUUUAGCAGCCAAGAUUGACACACACACCCUGUCUCCAACAGGACCAUCCUAAAGAUGCCCCUCAGCUGCUUGGUAUUAAUUAAUUAAUUAAUUAAUUAAUUAAUAUAAUGUAAAUGCCUAUUUAAAAGAUAACUAAGUUUCAAAGCAGCUCGCAACUGAACUUAGAGAAUAAAAAAAACGACAAAAUAGAAGAAGAAGAAGAGUUUGGAUUUGAUAUCCCGCUUUAUCACUACCCGAAGGAGUCUCAAAGCGGCUAACAUUCUCCUUUCCCUUCCUCCCCCACAACAAACACUCUGUGAGGUGAGUGGGGCUGAGAGACGUCAAAGAAGUGUGACUGGCCCAAGGUCACCCAGCAGCUGCAUGUGGAGGAGUGGAGACACGAACCCAGUUCCCCAGAUUACAAGUCUACCGCUCUUAACCACUACACCACACUGGCUCUGUGUGCAAAAUAAUGACAAACAAAGGUCAAAUGCAAAGCACACACACACACAUGUUUGGAAAAUAGAAUAUUCUCUUGAACCUGAAGACAUCUCAGAGAAAAAUCAAAUGCAAAUAGCAAAACUUCACAAAACAGCAUCAUUAGCUGAGAUAGAAGCUGCACUCCCACUUCCCCCCAUAGCAACCUGUCCCAGAUACAUUCCUAGCAAUCUUCCCCAUACAAAAUUCUCUCUUUAGCAUUCCCACCAGCCACACAGAUAACACAGAUAAUCCCCAGCCAACCGCUUGUUACAAGGCUAAAGUCUGGACUACAAAAAAAUACCUGGCAGCUUUGAGCAUAAUUUGCAGCCAGCUCAUUCACCCAGCUCCAUCUAGGGCAAUACAGACCCACCACGCCCUCCUUGUCUGCCACCCAGGUGGGGCCAUACUCCCUACCAGUUCAGUCUUUCACACUGAGCAGUAUUAAGCAACUUUGAAACGCACAAAAACAUUGUGAGCCAGACCCUUUUGUACAAGCUGAGACACAGUUUGCUGAGGUUUUUUUUUUUCAGAGUUAAGUUACUGAAAAAGAAUUCUGGUGAUCAGUCCAAAGGUCCGUCUAGCAUUCUGCAUUCUUGCUUCUCCCAAUCUGAUGCCUCUGGGCUGUGAAUGUGCAGUUGUUCCUUAUGCUGUGAUCCUUUCUAACAACUGAUAUUCACUGGCACACUGACACUGUGGGAUAGUGGUUAGAGCAGUGUUUCUCAAACGUGGGUCUGCAGCUGUUGUUGGACUACAACUCCCAUCAUCCUUGACCAUACCAGCUAGGGAUGAUGGGAGUUGUAGUCCAACAACAGCUUCAGACCCAUGUUUGAGAAACACUGGGUUAGCAUAUCAAACUAGGACCUGGGAGACCAGGUUCAAAUUCCCACUUGGCCAUGAAACUCACUGGGUGACCUUGGGCCAGUCACCAACUUUGAGGCCAUCCUACCUCCCAGGAAUGUUGUGACAGUAAUGUGGAGAGGCAGGGAGUCCAACACCUUGAGCUUCUUGGGUGGAAGGUGGGACAUGAACGUAAUAAUAAAUACUGCACCCAAAAGCGUUUUACAGUAGAACAACACAUAUAAAACAGUUAAAAGCAAUAUUAAAAAAUGCAUUUUUUUAAAACAACAACAACAGUACAUACUUGAUAUCAAUGACUCUAAAGCCAAAACCUAUUAAUUACUACAAUCACAAUAACAGGAAAAGCAAAAUGGCAGGACUGAAAGAAGAAAAACAGCCGAUAUCAUUGAACAAUGUAGGGUCAGACCAGAGUUUACUUAACUCUUCCAUAUAUUGAGAAGGUUUCUAGUCCUCACGGGAAAGGCUGAAAAGCCUUGAGGUGAAAUUUAAUUUAUCUAACUCCAUUUAAUUCAUCUGACUCAAUAGUUAUUGUAACGAACAAACAAUGUUCACUCAAUAUAAUGUCAAUUUCAACUCCAGUUUUUAAUACCUAAUGUUAUUGCCUUCGAAUUCAUCAAGAGGACAAGAUUUAGAGUGCUGCUUGCUGCUUCUUUUUUUUAAGGAUCCAUCCAAGUCAAAUGUCAAGAGCAGAACUGGAAUAGUUUCAACAUUCUUCCCCACGGAAGCCCGCCAAUGCGUUGAGUAAUGAGCUGGGAGCAGCAGGCAACAGGAAAUGGGUGCUCAUGAGUCAAACGCAGAGUCUGCAGGCCCUAGGAAAUCUCCCAAAGAAUACAGAUGCUAUUCCCACAAGAGCCAGGGCUUGACUGAGACUUAAGUAUCAGCACACACUGGAUACUGGUCGGUCGUCUUCUGACUACCGAUGAUGGUGAGAGAAGAACAGUUGUGGGUCUAGGAUAGCAAACUUACUUUUUGCAUCAGGAAGAAGGCAGUUGCCUCUGAAUAGCAACUGCAGGGAAUUGCAAGUGGGAAGAGGGCUGUUGGACCCAGGUCUUACUUGCAGGCACCCUAUGGACACCUGGUUGGUUCCUGUGAGAACAGAUAUGCUGGAUUUGAUGGGCCUUUGGCCUGAUCCAGCAGGACACUCAGGUUCCCUGUCACUUGGUUCCUGCUUUUAUGAUGGACACUUCUCAGACGCCUUUAGACAUUUUUGUGUGUGGAUUAUCAGGAUCCCUCCUAAUCUCGUGAUGUGGAACAGCGCUUAGAUUGAAGAAUGUCACACCUAAUGCCUUAAAUAAAUAACCUUGGACAGCGUGUCAGAAAUUUA
Molecule: non-coding RNA, 79126 nt
Organism: Podarcis lilfordi (Lilford's wall lizard)
Lineage: Eukaryota; Metazoa; Chordata; Lepidosauria; Squamata; Lacertidae
Source: the annotation of a GenBank genome assembly